RNAcentral lists this long non-coding RNA (74333 nucleotides) under Cinara cedri. The stretch from base 61218 to 61302 matches the Rfam family "mir-9/mir-79 microRNA precursor family". The record is from RNAcentral. Lineage: Eukaryota; Metazoa; Arthropoda; Insecta; Hemiptera; Aphididae.
UACUCGAACGCGCGUCUUACUCACCCGACUUGGCAUCCUGCGACUUUUACUUGUUUCCGAAGAUAAAGUCUUAAAGGAAUCCGGUUUGAGUCGAUAGAAGAGGUGAAACAAAAAUCGGCGGAACUCCUGAAUGAUCUUACGAAAACAGACUUCCAGCACUGCCUCGAGCAAUGGAAGAAACGAAUGAAACAGUGUGUGGCGAGGGGAGGGGAGUAUAUUGAAGGGGAGCAUUUGAAUGUAGAAUAACUUUUAUAAUAAUACACUUUUUCGUAACCAGUCUCGUUAUUUAAUAGCCACACCUCGUAGUUUGACUAUUUCAAUUUUAAACUAUAUUAAACUAGAGUAAAACUUAAAAUAAAAACCAUUGAAUGCAGUUUGAAAAAGUUGACGAUUUGAAAUUAAUUUUAAAAUAAAACCUGUAGCAUAACUUAAAAAACGCAUUAUCGACAUUCUGAUAAAGUAAUAAUUAUAAAUAAAUAAAAAUACUAUUAUAAACCACAGAUAUCUACCUAAAUAUUUAGUUAUUUCCAAAUAUACUGUGGGAAGAAUUUAUUCUUAUUUACUCGUAUAAUUAAUUAUUGAUAUAGUUUUCAGUUUACAUGAAACCUAUAUAUAGAUGUACUUAUGCGUCUACGGUUUGUUUAAUGUAUGACAUAUUUUAUUUUUAUGGGAAUUUCUAAGCCUAUACAAACUUGAAUAUUGUAUUUAAAGAGCAUGUUUAUUCGUCGAUUUAAUUACUAGAAUAAACAUUCACUGUUAAUACAUUUCAAAACUAGUCAAAUCAAACAUAAUAAUAUAAUACCAUAAAUAUAAAUCCCGUAGAUUCGAUAUAAUUGGUAUGGAUAAACGUAAUCAAAAAUAAUAAUUUAUUUUUGUAAAUAUAGUCGGUGUUCUUUUCACACUGAUUUUUCAUAGAAUCGUAAGUUAAUCGUAAAUCAUAAUGAUGCGUGAUGUAUUUUCGCCGGUGAAAAUGACGUGCCACCGAAAUUCAUGAAUAUGAUAGAAAAAAAAAAUGUUUUGCGUAAUAAUACAUUUCAAUGAACUGGAAAAUGUUAGUCAAAAAAUCGUCGGGCUGUUAAAAAUCUCAGUUAAAUGGCUUCUAUUUUACACCGUUUCAUUAAAUCCCUCGACAAAAGGCUACGAUUUAUCGAAAUAACGGACUACGCCAUGACAACAUAAUAAUAAUUAAUGUGACAACAAUAAUAUUUUAAACGUCAUUUCAAUCAUUGUUGUGUUUUUAACUCUAUCAACAAAUUCAUCGAAAUUCUUCGACUACCUGUAAUCAAUUUGUCCGAAUAAUCAACAAAUUCGUAAUAUGGAAUACGCCAAAAAAUAAAUUAUUUACCUACGUAGUAAGUAGUUAUAAAUGACCCAACAUUAGCCAAAAAAUAUACGCAUAACCGAAAUUGUCUUUAAAAUUAGAAUUAUAUCAUAUCAUCUUAGGUAUCUAUAUACAUAUAUCUACUCGAAAUGGAUAGUUAAAUAAAGUAACGAAAAAUCGACUCACGUAAUGAUCUCAUUAUACGUCAAGGUCUCAUUUGAACAAUAUAUCUCUUAACCAUAGUCUAAUAUACAGUAUACGAGACACGAAUACUUAUCAUUUUAACAUUUACAUUACGGUCUAAUACUUGUAUACUGUAUUAAAUUCAACCAAUAGUAUAAUAUCUAAACUACUUUAUGAAUUUGUCUGUAUCUGUCUGUCUGUAAGAGCUUUAUCUCUCAUAUUAUAUGAGCUCUAUCUCUCAUAUUAUGGUUGAGAAUUCUGAAAUACGGUUUUCACUAAACGAUAAGUUAGGCUUUAAAAUAGGCCUCCAUUGAUUCUCAGUCCAAUCGGUGAUUAUCAAAAGCUUACAUUACUUGGAUACUCUGGUUUGUAUAGGUUUAUUUUAAAUAAAAAUAAUAAAAAAUUAAUAACUAGAAUAUAUUUAUAGAUACCUAUUUCCAAAUACGUUAUAGAUAAUCUAAAUUUUCACUAAAACUAACGAUUAAUAUUACAAAAACCACGGUCUAGCUUAAAAUCAUGAGUUCCACGUAGUACAAACAUUUCUGUGCACGUAUCUAAUCAACUAAUAGCUGAACUUGACUCAAACUCUCCACCUAGAAUCCUUUUUCUAGAAUCAUAACACCCAUCGCACAUAGCUACUUAUAAAAUGUAACAAAAUACUCUCAGUGGAACUUUCAAUAUUUUACAUUAGAUAUUCUAUUAAAUAUAAUGUGUAUUGUUUGUAUUAUACACAUAUUUCUUAACUUAGAUAAAUUGAAACUUAGGUUUUUUGAAAACAAAGAAAUCAUAAUUAUGGGUGGGACAAUAAAUCAUAAUACCUACUCAAAUAUGAUCCGUUCAAAUAAAUCUGCUUUUUUAAAACAUAACAACAAACAAAUAUUGUCAUAAUUGAUUAUUUUGAUUAUAUAAAUAUUAUACUUACUAUAUAUUUUAAAUCGAUGAUUCAAAAAUUAAUAAAUCAGCAAUAAUUUUGGUGUAACAUAUUUCUUAAAAUAAAUUAUAAGUAAAAUAAAAAAAAACUUUUAAACUUUGCUUAUUUUUAAUGUAAUUACAGUUACUUAUAAUAAAGAUAAUAAAAAACUUAAAUUGAUUCACACAUAGUAAACGAUUGAUAAAAAAUAUUGUUUCAGUAAUUCAAAUAUUAUUAUGUUAUGAAUAUUUGCACAUAAAUAUAUUUAGUAAACUAAACAAGAUUUAUUUUAAAUAAUUUAACGAUACUGUUACAAUCAAACAUUUAGUAUUUUUUAGUUUAUACUACUGCGAAGAUAUAUAAAGUAUCCAAUUGAAUCGUUAUUAAAUAUAAGAUGAUUUUGUUUAUUUAUUAAUAAGCUAAUUAGAUGAGUAUACAGGUUAAGGUUAGGUACGUUGUGUAUACUGAAUGGAACAUUUAACUUGUAAACCAAAGAAGAUUACAAAUUACUUAUAUCGUACUUAAAUUUCAGUGAAUUAAAAAACAGUUUUAUCAUUUAUAAUAAACUAUUUUCAAGCAGUACUAUAGGUGGUAAUAUUUUUAAGUGUCUCGGGAAAUAUUUUAUUUUAAUAAUAUUAAAUUAAUUUGUGCCACAGUUGUAAAUGGUAAGUCGGGAAGAUAGGAUACAUACGUUUAUUCAAUUUUAUAUCUGUACUCAAAGAUAAACUAAUUUUAAUGUUUGUACAUAGAUAAAUCAUUUAAAAUAUUUAAUAACUCUCACAUAAAGGACUCUUUUUGUCGAAUUGUCACUGUUUAGUGUUUGUUAUAUCUUUUCCCAACUACUUUUGAAUACUAUUAUUAACUCCUGAACCAAAUAAGCCUAACCUGUGCCUUUAGGGACUUUAACUUUCAAAUCCCUUCCCAUUCAUUUGUAUGCCCAAAUUUCAUAUCUUCACAGCAAAUUCCAAAUUUUAAAUACUCUUACAGACUAAAAUUUAAUAAAACUCUGAAAACCAUAACUAUUUUAGAUCAAUUAUUCAAUUAAUUUUUUUAAAAAAAUUAAAUAUUUAAUAACGAGAACAAGUUGACUGGAAUAAAAUUCGACUAUAGUCAUAGAGCAUUGCUACUAAUAGAUGUUUUAUUCACUAUACCUAUCUAAUACAUACUGAUAUACUACUUGGAUAUAAUUAAUAUAGCAUAACUUGGACGUUUUGACAAUUUAUAUGCGUAUGUUUUGUUUUCGGACUUGUAAGGCUAUUUAACUCCAUCAUAUUAAUUACCAUUAGUAUUUUUGAUAAAACUAUCAUAUUAAACUUAACCCCUUAUAGCUACUAAACAGGUACUUUUUCAAAUGUGUAAAUAUGAGGUAUAUUUGAAAAAACAAUGACAUAUCAGCUAAAUCGUGUAGGCACUAGGCAGUAUCUCAAAAACGCUGAACGCAUUUCACUAACCCUAUAAUUCCAUUAUCCAAUAGAGGUGCAUUAUUUUAAGUUAAAAUUAAAAUUACCAGUAAAUUACAGAAAAUAAUUGAUACAUUUGAUAAAAUAAAUCGAUAAUAUACCCUGUACUCGAUAAAAAAAAACUCAACCGUAUUAUAGAAAAUAAUAUGAUAAUAUAUCGGGGCCAAGGCCUCUUUAAUAAAAUGGUAAUUUUACCUAUUUUCAAAUUUUUUCUUCAGUAUUAAAGUUAAUAGCCGUAACACGAUUAUCAUAAUUAUAGUAUAGCUAAUAAAAUUUACGUUUCAAGGAUCUAAAAAAAUAUACAUUGGAGAUUCAUAAAAAAAAAAAAAAAAAUGAAAAUGAAAAUAAAUACAAAAACAAACGAAAAUAUGUGUCUCCUUAUAAAAAUGGUGAUGCAAAUUUUCUUAACAAUUUUUUUUUCUUUAAUAUCUUCAAAAAAUUUUAAAUGUUAUAAAUUUUAAACUAAAUGGAUUUCUAUAGAACACAUAUUAUAUUUUCUAUCUAUAUUUGUGUAAUUAAAACUGUUAAAAACUAUGAUUGAAAAAAAAAAAGAAUGACACUUUAAAGUAAUGGCAAGAAUAUUAGAUUAAAAUUUAGCCAAUUUAAUUAAAAAAAUGAUUUUCAAAAAAAAAUAAUCAGACCUAUAAAUAAAUCGUUAAGAUACCAAAAAUAUCAAUAUUUUUAUUUACCUGGUAAGUGCGACUCGUUGAAAAAUGGUUUCGCCAUAAUCGUUGUAUUUUCGUUCGAUCUAGAAGAAACAAUUUCAUAUUAUUUAUAUUAUAAAUGUAUUUAUAAUAUAUAUCCUACAAAAUAUUAAGCGCAAUAAUUAUGAAAUAAUAUUUCCAACGAUAGUUUGUUGACGAAUUCGUUUGAAUUCAGUUCAUAAACGAAAUGAAUUCACAUUUAGGUAGAUAUUAAUAUCACUAUGUCAAAAACAAUAUCUCCACGUGGAUUUCUUUAUCAAACAACAUACUGUAUAUAAUGUAUUAUAAUAACAUCUAUAUUCUUUAUUUUUGUUAGAGUAUAAGUAUUUAUAAUGAUACAUUUGUACUGAAUUCAAAUUUUGGAAUAUCAUAUGAUUAAAAUGUUAUGCAAACAAUUCAUGGACAACAUCUUUCACUUUAUAUUCGUUCGUAAACAUAUAGUAUAAAAUAUAAUAAUACGGCAAAAAUGUAGUUUUUAAUAACCUUCAAACAAGUAAAACCGAUUCAAUGGACAAAGUCAUCAUAGACAAGGUUACUAUUAUUUUCAAAAACGGUUUUAUAGUAACAAUCAUUCUAUGUUUGAAGGAUUAAACUAUGUAGUCGCAUUUUAAAUAAUUUUCACUAAAAAAAUUACCAUGGAAUACGUAUUAUUGUCGAAUUUUUAAAUAGUGACACAUUCGGUGAUAAUAUUUAUCCAAAUAAAUAAAAAAUAACCGAAGGCGUUGAUAAAUCGCCUAUAGUAAAAUAUUUCAAAAGGUUUUUAAUUUAAAAAUCUUAAUUUUGUUGCCAUUCUUUUAAGAAUCCUAUACUAUAUUGGGUAGGUACAAGUGAGUAUAGACAUUAGGAUAAUCUGUACUAAUGUUGUAAAAAACAACAAAUUUAGAGCUGAUUCUGGGGACGGGUACAGCCAUUGUUUUAAGUGGGAAAUAGAGAAAGUAAUAUACAUAAAGUUAUUUAAUUUAUAUCUGUACGCAACGAUAAACCGUUGCUAACAAAAGUCAAUUUGGAACAUAGUUCGGUAAGACGUAUUCUAAAAUGCCGUAAUUCUUACGAUUUUCGUCAAAAUUUAAUCUUAAAAAGCUUAUCAAAAUAAACUAAUGCAUUAAACUCAGAUUUGUUUUGUAGACCAUUAAGAAAAACUUAUAAUAUAUCUUGUUAAAUUUUCAAACAUUUCUCUUAAGUCAUAUAAUUUUAAUAACAGAUACCUACCAAAGAAAAAUACAUAUGAUAACAAAAAAAUAUCAAAUACCUGUAAGGUGCUAUACUCUAUACAUCGGAGCAAGAUUUCUAAUCGAAAAGUUGUUUACAAACACGAAAAAAAUAAAGAAAUUAUACAUCAUAGUAAAAUCAAUAAACCCCUCGCUACGCUCCGAAUCUAAAAUCGUCACCAAUAGCUGCAAUAAGUGAUUGAAGUAAAUAAGUUAUAUAAUUUAUAUAAUAUUGGUAUAUGGCAUCAUUUCAUUUAAAUACAUACAUGUGUAUUAAAAUAUGUGCAGUAUAAUCUGCCUUAACGGAUUUUAAUGAAAAAAGGCGAGAUGUGUUUAAUUAAAUUAUAUUGUAUUUUCCCCGUGGACCUUGCCAAGAAUAGCCCCUGAAUAUAAAAUAGAUAUAUCCAAGUAUCUUAACCUGAAUAGGCUCUUUCUAUUAUGAAUGCAAAUAUAUUUCUUCCCAGUGACGGAUAAAAAUCUUAUAGUAAAACCAGAGAAAACCAGUGAAAAUCACCUAAGGGGCGCACUCUGCAGGUUUCCUUUUGGGAGCCUCUGAAACCCAAGUUAUAAUAUGACCGAUUGAUCACAAUUGAUUCUAUUGUUUUUUAAAAAAAAAUAAUUAUUUAUAAUGUGAUGUUAUAUAAUAAUUAUAAUAUUAUAUGAUGUUUUAUCAUUGUAUAUAUUACAUGUUUUAGUAAUUAAAAUACAAUAUUUCACGUCAUAUAUACAAAAUACAAUGAAAUAUGUACACUUGAAUUUGGCUAUAUAAACUCUAAAACCUGCAGUUUUCAACAAGCAUCAUGGCUAAGCAGACACUUUUUAAGGACUUAUUAGUGUCCGUUAUUUGCAGAGUUAACUGUUUUCAACAAUAAAUUAAAUAAACGAUAACAUUUAGACAUUUAACUGUGAGAUGCUGUACGAGAUUUCCGCCAUAACAAAGAAUUAAUAUUGAUUCGUUAAUGUUGGGCCAAAACAUUUUAGCCAUCAACGAAACUAAGAUAUUAAGGAUUCGUGUGAAAGUGAAAAAAUGAUUAAUUGCAUCGUUAUACAUUUAUAAUUUAUAAUCAAUAUUUUAUAUGAAAAAAAAAAAUAAAUCGAAAUCAUUUUUUAAUAUAAUGGUAGAGGUGAAUAGGUGUAAAACGACAUUGUAGUUUUAUAUUUAGUUUCGUACCCACAUAAUUUGAUACAUAAAUAUUCAUAUAGGAUGUAUUUACUUUUAAGAGUCUAAUGUUUGUAUUCAAUUUAUUAUAAUCUAUCAUACAAAUAAAUACUUUUGAAAACCAAAUUACCUUUAAUAUUAUAGGUACCUACUAUAUACAUGAUUCAUACUCGGAAUAUUGGAUUAACCAUUUGUAACUGUAAAAUACAAUUAGUCUAAAAUCAAAUAUUAACAAUAUUCACUGUAUUAUUUUAAUUUGAAAGCCUUAAAACAUAAUGUACCUAUUAAGUAAUUUAUUUACGUUGGUACCAAUAAAAUAAAUCGCAUGUGUAUUAGUGAAUUAAUAAUAUAUAAAAUGUAUUACGAAGACGCUAAUUGAAAAUAAUUAAGAGGAUGUCGUAGUGCGAUAUUUAGUGAAUUAAGUAUAGGCAAUUUUAACAGUGGUUUUGAAAAAAAUACAAUAUUUAUCAAUUAAAAAUAAUACAAACCUACUCAUAUAUUCAAAUAAAUGCACAAAUAUCACGAAUGUUUUUAUCCAUAUCACAACGGUCAACUUUAUACGGAAAAAAUUAUUCGAAUUAAAAAAAAAAACAUAAACCUAUCAGAUUUUAAAACAAUUAUAACUUGUUUGAAGUCAUACAUUUUUUAUACUGAACCAUUAUCAAAAAAAAAUUCUCGUAUGAUGCACAAUAUAUUAUAUUCCUUUUUUAGGUAGGUAAAAUUGUAAUUUUUAAAAUUAUAUAAAACACAAGCAUGAGUGGUUCUUAUCCACGUGAAAUGAUUUUCACUAACAAUUUUUUUAGCAUUCCAUUUCCUCGUGAAUUUAAAUUUAAAUUUAAAUCCAGUAAAAUAAUUGUUUUUGGUCCAAUAAAUUGUUUAAAAUGUAUAUUUUAUUUAUUCUAACAUGGUUGUAUCUUAUAAUACGAUUCUGAAUUCAAUAUAUCUAUAGUAUGUAUUACCGAGUUUCUAGAUUCUAAAUACUUAUUUUAAAUCAUAUUACCCAUAGGCUCCUGAAAGGAGGACCAACAGAGUUAUUCCUCCUCUCCCUGAUGACAGAUCAAUAACUACAUUAAAAAUUAAAAAUAAUUUUUGAGAUUUUCGAAAAAUUAAAUUUUAUGGUUAAAUUAUGUACAAAUUCAAAUAUAAUUUUUUUAAAUUUUUAAGUAUAAUAAAAGACGAUAUUUUUACAUACUUAGAUUUUUCACAAUAUCCUGUAAUGAUACCAACUUUGGUUUCUGAAAUGAAAACCUACACAUUUUAAUGCAAAUUAUCAAUCAAAUGAUAUUUCUGGAAAUGAUGAUAUAUUUUUGAAAUCGAAAUUUUAAUAAAAAGUUGUUGAGUUAUUCUUCUUUAAGUACUGAAAAUAAUGGACUUUUAUUGGGUUUGAAUAAGCAAUUUUUUGUUUUAAAUCAUUUAUCAAAAAUCUGAUUCUAUGAUAUUAUUUGCAUUAAAACAUGUAAGUUCUCAAUUUAAAAACUAAAGUUGGUGUUGCCACAGGAUACACCUUAAAUACUGUGAAAAAUCUAAGUAUUCUAAAAUAUUGUCUUUCAGUAUACACACAAAAUCCAAAAAUCAGAAUUUAGAAUGUAUACAUAAUUUAACCACAAAAAUAAUGUGAACAUGCUUAAAACCUAGUCCUCUAUUCCUCUAUAUGCACGUAUAAAAACUGUAAUUAAUGUGUGAAUAUUAAUGUAUCGAGUACUGAGUAUUCAAAUAAAUAACAAUUAAAAUAUAAAUAUCGAGUAUCUUGUACUGCAAUAUUUGUUACAUAAAUAUUAUCUAUAACCGAGUAUUUAAAAUACUUUCAUUUUAAAAAUCUCGCCCAUCCCUGCAGACACCAUUCAACCACCAUUAUGAACUGCGUAUUAUUACAUGUAUACAAUUCUCACAUUUAAACAUUUCGUUUUUGCCGUAGGUGUGCACUCAAUAGUUCGGUCCGAAACGAGCUUGGUCUACAAACAAAAUGGGACGGAAGUUUGGUGACAUAGCUGACCUGGAUAGUCUCAUCUCACCCGUGUACGCGCUGAGCACAUCAGACGACGUCGGCUGGUUGGGCUACAAAGCGGUGCCCAUCGUCGAACCGAAACCCCGAUCAACGUUUUUCCUAAUUGAUAUUGGCAUCAGUACCAAAACGAUCGACGCCACGUUACACGUACUCGUUAUAUUUCUUGUGUUAUUCAUCAUUAUCAACUGUAUGUGUAAAUUCGUGUGGAUAUUUUUAAAAUAACCAAUUUUAUUUAUGAUUUUUUUUUUUUGUGUUACGUUCAUGUAAUUAUAGACAAUAGACAUAUUAUAAUAAGUAUAUAGAGAAGCGAAAGUUUAUUUGCUUAAUAAUAACUUGUUAUUUUUUUUAAAUGUGUCUGUUUAAUUUAUGUUUAACUUGAAAUGUAAUUAUUGUCCUAUAUAUAUUUAUCAACUAUAUAUUAUUAAGUAUUUAUUAAUUAUUUAUAGUCAUAUUGUCACAUACAUAUAAUAUAGUCGCACUAUUUAAUAUUUUGUAAAAAGAAAAUUGAAUUAAUUCUGUGUAAUACUGUUAAUAUAUGCACAAACAAAAAAACGUUUACAAUAUGUAUUUAAUUAUUUUUGGAAUUAUUAUUUGACCACGAGUUAUACUCAAUACUCAAAAAUUAAACAUAAUUAUUGGUUACAAUAUAAAAAAUCCCAUAAAUCAAGGUUUAAAAUAUAUAUUUAUAUUAUAAAUUAUAAAACAAUAAUAUGUACUUAUUGUCAAUUUACUAAUCACGUUUAUAAUCAUAAAUGCCAUAGUAUUCACUAACUAAACAUCUCUUUUAGGAUCAUCAGUUGAAAUCACUUUCAAAGGUUUGAAAUUUAAAUGCUAAAACACUCAUACAGAAUAUAAAAACUAAUAACUAUGAAUGAUAUAGUAUAAUGACACUGUCAAUCAACCUGUUCAGGGGCCUAAUGCUGGUUUUUCAAAUUAUCUCAAAAUUUGUAAAAUUUUAAAAUUAUUUUCAACAUUUUAAUGACCACCUAAAAUAAGUUGGUAAUGUACCGUAAUAUUUUUCUACCAAUUUCUUUUUUAAAUUCAUAAACUACAACAUGCUACAGACCACAAUAAUCUACGAUUUUCCAUUUGAUGUACAACAAAAAUAAAAGUAAAACAAUUUGAAGUUAAAAAUUACUUACCUAUCUCAAAGUACUUUCUACGUAAUUUUCGGUUUUAGUUAAAUUAUUAAAAAAACUACAAGAAAAUCAAAAAACUACUUUCUUAGUUUCCAACUAGAAAAAAAGUUUAAUAAAAAAGAUCUUUUUUUAUUUUCUAUUGAAACAAUAUUUCUGGUAGAAACCAUCAUGUACACAAAUUAAAAACUAUGAAAACAGUAACACUACGCCACACCGUCAAUAUUUGCCGUUUUAUACUUAUACACUUUCUUUUUCGUUUUUCCCAAUUAUUUCAAAAACUCUUUAGAAAAUUAAAAAAUGACCUCUUCAAUGCACUAAUUAGACCAAUUCUCUUUUCAUAAAAUACACAAUGUACUGAGUAAACAUGUAUAGAAGAUAUUAUUCUAUAUUAUACAUCGGAGCAAGAUUUAAUUUCGAAAAUUUGUUUACAGACAGAAAAAAAUUAUAGGAGUAUUACAUUUUACUUACUAUUAUACCUAAUUUAAGCGAUUCGAAAUUUUAACAAGAUAAUCCGAUUCGUCCAUUAAUUAAUUUUAAAACUGCACCAGCUUAUAACCUUGCUAUAUAUUGAGACUUUCUUAUAAAAGAAAAAUUAAACAUGAAUACUGAUAUUUCUAUAAUUACACUUGAUUAAAUUAAAUAUGUAUACUGCCGAUUUAAGAACGAUAGUGAAGUCAGAAUUGAACGGACUGAUUAAAUUUCAAAAUUAUAACUUUUUAAAGUUCUGAUAUUAUGCGAAUAUUAAAUUUUGUUAAAUAACUAAAUAUUAUCUUCUUUUAAAUAUGUUUGUCAUAGCUAAAUGGUUAGGUUAAGUUAGGUUACACAUACCUAUAUUCAUCCUAGAGUUCACGAGUUCGAACCCGUGUUUCAAAAGAAAAUUUUUUACAUUUUAUUCCACUUUUACCUAAACUAAGAAAAAACAAAUGCAUUUUGGGUGUACCUAGAGACCUAAGCCAUCGCUCACUCGAACUAUUUUAAUCGCGAAUAAUCCUCGAUUUGUUAUGCAAACUUUUUUACCAAAAAUCUUACUCUGAUGUAUCAAGUGUAGCUAAUUUUCUAAAAGGAAAUUUAAUCUCCAUAGUAACUUGAGGAGGUCAUUUUUUGAUUUAUUCCAAAAAUCGUGAAAAACGGAGACAAACGGAAAAAUGUACAAAACACAUAAGUAAAAUAUAACGAUUUUUUUUCUGUAGAAAAUUUUUCUACCAGCAAUUUUGCUCUAAUUUACAAUGAUAGUAAUUUUUCUAAAAGGAAAUUUGUCUAGGGAGGUACUUUAAAAAGGUCAUUUUUGAUUUUCCUAAGAGUUUUCUGAGUAAAUGUGAAAAACCGGGGGGGAGGAAAUGGGAAAACCGGGAAAAAUGCAGGAAAUACGGUAAAAUAUUACACAAAUAUUAUUAAAGAAAAUAUACAAUGUCUAUUUAAUUAUUUUACCAUAAUAUGACAUACAUAUAUAUUGUUGAAAAAGCAUCAUUAUCAAUUGAACUUCGCUCAAAAUCGGUUUUUCGUUAGCAAUGGUUUAUCGUUGCUUACGGAUAUACAUUAAAUUUUCUAUAACAGUGGCUGCAGUCGACCCCAUUAUCUUAGGACGUCUUUUAUAUUUAGUCGCGUUUUAUAUUUUGUCUGUGAUACAUCUGAUGAUGAAUUUUUAAUUCGAAACCGGUCGUAUUAUACAUUUAUCAUAAUAUUCCAGGCAACGCAUUCAUUCAUUUAUUUAUUUUUUAUUUAUAUUUAUAUUUUUAGUUACUAUAUUUAUUUACGAGUAUUAACCAUUUUAAUAAUUUUGUUGUUUUUUUUAUUAUUUUAUUAUUAAUACACACGCAAUUUUAAAAGUAUAUUAAUUUACAAUACAGGUGGCCACGAACUGAAUUGUUGUUUAUUCGGUUUAUUUUAUUAUGAUACAAUUCAAGUACUCACUUUAUAUUUAAUAAUAAACGUAAAAGCAUAGGUGUAUUAUCUAAUGUAUAUUGUGUAUCAUAAAUUGGCUUAAUUUUCUUCAGAAUUAAAAUAGGUAUGCCGCACCCAUGGUCUUCACACGCCUACGAUUUUUAGCCCAUAAAGUAGUAAUUAAAAUAAAACUAUAUUAAUAUAAUAUUAUACCUAUACAGUAUACUGGUUUUACUAGGAUGUAUAUUUUAUUUUUAUUGUUAUAUGAACAACUUUUCAACCGGAAUUCCAAUUAUCUCAACAUCAGGGUUGGUUACAAUGGUAAUACAUUUUUUCAAUUUGGUGCAUUGUGCGAGUGUUUUUUUUUCUUGAUAUUUUCUUAAUACGAAAAACGGAAAUAUUUACGGAACUACGGUUUUUAUUAAUUUCGGUUUAUUUUUUUUAUUGUUGUUCGGUGAAAAAUAAGCUUGACAUUUGUUCAGUUAUUUUUAGCUAUUUGAUACUAUCUAAUUUUUGUAGUUUUUACUUUUUUAAUUUUAUAAAUUUGUGUCAAUUUGGUUGACUUUUCUAAAAAUCACGAAAAUGUUAUAUAAGGUUAGUCAUAAGUUUUUUUUAUGAUGACACUAUUCAUUUAUCUGUAGAUAUACUGUAGAUUACUUUAUAGAACUUUAUUCCAUAUAUUUGAUACUUUCUGUGAAAUAAACGUGAUCUUCUUAAACAUGAUUCGUAAAUCAAUUGAUCUUAUUUAUGCUCUUCGAACUCAUUCACAAGGAUUUGGGAUUUAAAUUGUAUAGUUAUAAUUCAUCUUAUAAUAAUAUUCAUCUUUUCAAAAUAGUGAGGCUGGAAUAUAUUUUGUAAGAUAAAUACUGAUUGCCUUUUUAAUAUACCUACCUACUUCGAUAGAAUAGGUGCCUUUCGUCCUUUUUCUAAAGGAUAUAAGUCCCACACAUUCUGAUAAUAUACUAUAAUAUAGACCCUAGGUAUAUUAAAAAUGUAUUCAAUGAUACCACCUAUUAGUUAUUUAAAAUCACUGAAAACGUAUACAAAUUUACUGAGGAAACUUUAAUACAAAAAUAAUUCAAGUCUGUUAAAAAAAUAAUUAAUUAAGUUAAAAAUACACUCAGAAUCUAAAAAGCCAUGUUAAUUUUGUAAUAUCUGACAUUGCGCUUAUUAUAAAAAAAAAAAAAUUAUAUGUUUGUAAUGCUACGUAACUUUAUUAUUUGUUUUUAAAUCGUACAGAAACUUUGAAAAAAUUCUUUGGCAUUUUUUUUUUAUUUUCAUUCAUGCAUCCUGAAUGUUUAUUGAUUUUAUUUUUUAUUUUUUUCAUUGUCUAAUUCGAUAACAUUUUUUGUACAAUCAGGAAGGAAACUAUUUAUCAAAUGUCAUCGAAACGAAUACAAAACCAUAUAAUGUCAUCAAUUUAAGGAUUAAGUUAUUAAUAGUCAUCUUAGGGCAAAAACUACGCAGCGGCAAUGUUAUAAUAGUCUAAAUACUAUAAAAUCUCCGUCCGGUUAUCGCCUACAGUACAACCGUAGUGGGUAAACAAAUCCAGAAAUAAACGAAUAUUUUACAUUAAAUAAAUUCAACGUUGUUUCAAUGGCAGUCUUUCAGAUGACAGGACAAUUGAUAAUGAGAUUUCCACUUUACUAGUAGUCAAUUUACAAAAUCACGAAAAUAAUAAUAUUAUAUAGGUAUGCAAUAAAAAAGAAAGAGCUGAUACAUCUGACGAGUUUGCCACUGUUGUAGAUGGAAGCUGGGAAAGUAGGAUAGUGUUUUCUUUUUUAAUUAAUGUUUUCUUAUAGAACUUAAAUAAAACGAUAAAAAGACAAUAUAUAUUUUGAUACAUGACUUAUAAUUUAUAAAAGGAAAAAGGCAUAAUAGUUAUGAUUUUGACGGGUGGAGUGGCAUAACCUAACAACGAUGUGUUGUACAGGGAGUACAAAUAUGUUAUCACAUUUACUUAUCAUUGUAACCACUCUAAACCAUAGAGUAAUAUAGAGAGGCCGUAAUGAAAUAAAAUUGAAGCACAAAAUGGUAAUAUUUAACAGUAUUACCACCAAUAAAACUCUAAACUGUAAAACUCUAAUUGGUACCAUAUAUUAUUUUGUACUACGAUUGCACAAGUUUAGUAAAAUAGGGGAAGAUCCAACAUAUCCUACAACCAAAAAAAACGCGCUAUAUCACUAUUAUCGACUAUAGAAAAUCAAAAUUCGAAAUUUAAAUUGGCUUCUAUCACGAUCCCAGAUUAUUUGAAUAAACUGCAAUACCAUGUACAUAGUAUUGCUUACCAAAGGUGCUAGGGGCAAUAAGCUUGUGUUGUGCAAAUGUGGUGAUUAUUAUAGUAAUUAUGUAAUUAUUCAUUAUAAAAUAUAUUCCCUGUAUAUUUUUCCAAACAUUAAAAAAACUGCCUAUCUACAACCCCUGAUAUACGGGAGAUAUAUUCUAAUACAUAAAUAUCUCGUGUCACGGUGAUUGUGGUCGCUCUCCUCCGAAACGGCUCGACCGAUUUUAAUAAAAAAAUGUUUUUGUAUAUUUGGUAUGUAUGAAAAUAGGUCAUAAAGUAUAUUUCACCCUCCACCACCAACCACCAUUUUUUAAUUGCGAUUUUAGUAUUUUUGUAGGAAGUCACGCAGUAAUGAAAUGGUGGUAAUUCAGAUGACCGGUUUUCUUGGCGUGUGAUUAGGCUAUCAGUCAUACAGCCAUUAGUGUUUGUACACGACCACGCGGCGUCGGCGCACAGUGGUCUGAAAUAAAUAUUUAACUUACAUCAAAUCCCAAUUAUGAAGUUUGAUAAAAUUUUAUUUAUAAAUAACAGAAAAAGAAAAAUUACACAUUAUAAUACCUAUAUGAUAUAUUUUAAAAUUUAUUUAAUACUAACUUAUGACUAAAGGCUUUAAACAGAGUGAUCAGUAUUUUAUGUUUCUCCCAUAAAUAUACAAAAAAACAUUUCUGUAACAUAAAAUACCUACAUACAUAAGACAAAAAAAAUGAAAUCUAAAUAAUAAUUGUUUAUUUUCCUUAAAAAAAUAGUUAAUUUAUUUUACCACAUUCUGAGAGAUGGUGUUUUAUUUUGUAUUUUUAAUGUAUAAUCUGUUUUUAAAUUUGUGUAAGAGAAAGUUAUAGAUUUUUUUAAUAAAGUUAUAUGAUUUAUUAAUGAAUUUUGAGAUUCACUACUUUAAAUAUUGAUUUGAAUAUGGUAGAAUUAUAUAAAAAAUAUCUUAAGACUUUUGUUUCAAUUUUCAAUUUUUAUUUACUGAAACUACUAAGAAAACUAAACAUUCCUUAGCAAUACCUAAACUAUCAUUAUUAAUUUCACUCUCCAUAUCCCCUCGACCAUAAUAUUUACCAGUACUUUUAUCAUAUUCCAAAUGUUGGCGUAUAGCCAUUUCAUCCAUUGUUAAUGCACAAAUAAUAUCAUGUUACGAAUUGUUUACUUUUAGUGUAAUUUACAUUAUAUAAUACAAACAUAUUAUAAAUACUUCCAUACUUUACUAAUAUACUUUUUAAAUAUUAAAAAAGUACACUUACAUAUUUGUUUUGGUCAACAACAAUAGAUGGAAAUGCAUGAUUAUGCAAUAAUCUUUUACUUUUAUUUGUAACAAAAUAUGAAUGAGCAAAGUGAAGAGUACAAACCAUACUUAUUUUGGUUACGCUAUUAAGAUUCAAACAGUUUUUAAUUAAAAAGUCAUUUCAUUUACGUUUUAUGAUUUCUUUGGAUGAAAAUCUAAAAUUGCCAUCAUAAUUAAAUAAGUUACCUAUUGAACUAUAUCUCUAAAAUCUUAACCAUACCUGUGAAAAGUGAAAUUAGCAGUUAUAGGGUUUGUGUUACUUGUUUUUCCACAAAUCAUACAGCUAGGCAAUUUAUUUUUUUUACUGAGAUUUAAAAAAAAAAAAUAGAAAUAAUUUAAACUAAUUUUUUUAUAGUAGACAAUAGCCCUCACAAUUCAAAUAAUAAACUAUUAAAAGUAUAACAGACAACCAGUUUUACAAUUUUUUUGUACGAUAUUUUUAUCAUCAAUAAAAUCUAAAAUCAACACUGUAAAAUACAUACAGUUUACGCCUCAAUUUAUGAACAUUGGCGAUAAACAGAACGGCCUCUCUAUAUUACUCUAUGCUCUAAACAUCGAGCUCUUUAAUUUAUUUCUGUAUGCAAUGAUAAAUCAUUGCGAAAUUCGAUUAAACAAAUUUUAAAAUAUCAUUGUUUUUAAAAUUGUCUUUAAAAUUUGAAAUUAGUAAUAAUAUUAGAUAGGUAAAAAAAUUAAACAUAUACUACAUUAAGCUUAAAUUGUUUAAUUGACAACUAAGUAAAAUGUAUAAUAAAUUUCCAAACAUUGUUGAUCGAUUAUUGUAUCAACAUAAAACCAAAUAAAAUUAAAAAUAUAACGUAAUUACUUUAUAUAAACAUAACUAAUUAAAAAAUUUCGAUUUAAUAAUUAUCUAUAAUUUGUUUUUAAUAAUAUUACAACCCCUUUUUUUAAAUAAUUAUUGAAACUGAAACAUAUUAAGUUUUAAGUGAGUUUGUAAUGCGCAUAAAUCACUCUUAACAAUGUGCUAAAUAUGUAAGUCCGUUUUAACCUGUCAAACUUUAGUACCUAGUAUAUAAAUAAUUACAAAAUGGUUCUAAGGAAUUUCUCAGAAAAUAUCUUUCUAAAUGUAUUACAAAUUCACUAAUAUAUUAGCCAAUAGGAUUAGGUAUAAUAUAACUCUUUGUAAUGUGAUAAUCAUUAUAAAUUAUAUCUGUGUAACAAAUCUAAAAUAUAAUAGGUGUUAGUAAAAUAUUUAUAAUCCGUUCGAUAAUAAACAGCCCUAAAAAGCAAAAAAUCGCCUAUUAAAAGAAUGAAAAUUUUAGAUAAAUGAUCUUCCAAAAUAUCAGAAAUCUACAAUUAAGAGCCUUCGUACUAUAUGUUUUUUUUUUUUUUCAAAAACAUACUUAAAAGGAAAAAUACUCAUUCCCCGUAAGGUAAACAUAUUUUAUUUUAUUUUUUUGAAAUAGGAAGAUUUCUAACAAACGCUUUGAAAAUUGGAUUUUAAAAAUAUAAUUAGAACUUGAAUAUAACCAGUGACAAUUAUUUUUUAAACUAAUUUGUUCGUGUCUUUCUACAAUAUACAUUGUAAGAAGCAAGCUUAUCUCUGUUCAACAUAAAAUCAAAAAACAACUUUCUUGUAUCUUUAAGGUAAUUUGGGAAUAUUUGGAACAAGAUUUGUAAUAGAAAACAAAAAUUUAAACAAUUUAAAAUAAUUAAAUUGUUAACGUAAAUAUAAAUAUACAUUUAUUCGUUUUUCCAAUUUUCUCAAUUAUUUUGGAAACUGACCAGAAAAUCAAAAAAAUGACCUUCCAAUGAAGCUAGAUGUAAAAUAAAACUAAUAAAGUAAAAGAUAUCUUAGUAUUUUUAAUUUUUUUUUAUAAAAAAUUUUUUUUUAAAUGGAUCAAUUUUUUUUUGUAGAAAAAUUAUUUACAAAUACAAAAGAACAAAAAAUAAGCACACAUGGUUGUUAUACCAUUAAAUUAAAAAAAUUAUUAAAUUAAUAGUACAUUUUAUAUUGAUCAUUGGCAAUAAUUUACUAAAUAUUACCAAUUAUAAAAUAAUUUUGAUAAACACAUUUUUUUUUUUUUUGUAUCUAAUAUUUAAUGAUAGUAUAUACAAAUUAAAAACUUAUAUAAAAGACAAUCUAGUAAAUUAUCAUCAAAAUAUCCAUUAUUCAGAAAUAUAACUUAUCAUAAACUAAAUACCUCAUAUGCAAUAUAACACUUUUUGAAAUGUAAACUUGCACAUAGUUUCACAUUUUUUUCCUAAGAUUAUUUGGAUUGAAAUGUUAAUAAAAAAUAUAAUUUAUUAUAAAUUAAAAAUUGAUAAAUAUAAAUUAUUAUUAUUCGUCAUUUACAUAUUUAAUAAUCAAUAGUUUUAUAUGAUUUUAGUUUAUAUAUCAUUAGCUGUUCCGCGCCCGGCGUUGCUCGGACCAAUUAGUAUUAUUAUUAUUUUACCCGUAUUCAUUUUUAGUUUUGAUCGUGUCAGAAUAGAAUGAAAACAAAUAGGUGGAACCUUCAGCAAACUAAAUGUGUUCUAUUGUGAAAUUUUAAUAGUGUAAAUAAUAGUAAUAAUAAUAAUUAUAAUAGUUUAAUAAUUAUUAUUUUAUUAUUACUUAUUAUAAAAACCGUUUCGAGUGGAUAAGAAUCACUCGAAAGAAGUAUAGUAUAGUUCUAUAACAAAUUUUCAUCAUAAAAAAGACAAUUGCGAUGCGCAACGUAGUUGUUUUAUUUUUUGGGGGUUAUUUGCACGUAUAUAAAAAAAAUUAUUAUUGUUAAAAUACCUGUUAAUUUUAUUUUAAGCUUAAAUACAUUUUUUCGAAAAUUAGAUUUAUCGAAAAUAUAUCACAAACGGUAAAUGUCUCUAUUUUUUUAUGAUAAAAAUAUUUUGGUUUCUUAAAUAGCCAACGUAUUAAAUGCCCCCGUGAAACUAAAUGUUUUCCUUUUAAGAUUUAUUAGUUUAUUUCAUGAUUACACAAUAAAUAAUCAAGAUAAUGACACGGUAGGAGACUACUUGUAAAUUUAUUCGAAAGUUAAUUAGAAUAUUUCUGAGUUAAUAAAUUUCCAUUUUUUCAAAAAUAUAAUUAAAACUGCCUAUAUGCAAACCCUUAAAUACUAUACUAAAUUUAAGCCUACUCUACAGUUUAUUAUAUGCUUACUUAAAAUUAAAAUAGUUCUUGAGAAUAGGAAUAUUACUAAUUUCAAUUUCCUUUAACGGGAUCGAUACAAAAAUAUAUUUAAUUACUUAACUUACAGAAUUUCUAAUUUAGAUUGGUAAUUGUAAACUAAAAAUGAGUACUGGUUUCUUUUCCAAAAAUGGGGACGACAAAAAAUAUUAAAAAUACAACAUUUUGGAACUACUUCAUAGUUAAAUUUUCUAAAAAUCAAAUUCCGGAAAUAUUUAGUACAUUUCGAGAUAAGAUUAGGUGUCUUUUGUUAUGUUGAUCAUCUUGAAUAGCAUUAUAUAAAUAAUUAUAUUUGUAAAGUUAAUUUAGUUGCCUAUGCCAAUGAAAACGUUCAGAUUACUUAUAACUAUUGUAUUGUAUUCUCUAUUGUAAAUUGUUAUCAGAUUUCGGAUAAAAAAACUCAUACAUUGGAACAUUAUCACUUUUGUAACUAUGAAAUAGAAUAUAUUAUUCCGUAUGUAAAGAAAAACAAUCAUUUCAACUUCAAAGUUUAAACAUAACAAAAACAUAUAUGUUAUUUUAAAUUACUUAACUAUUGACCUAAGCUAACUUCUUAUUGUGUUUAUUUAACAUAUAAUUAUACCUAAUAUAUACUUGGUAAUAUUUGAAAUACAAUGAACAUACCUUUAAAAUGUUAAAACUUGUUAAUUGUUUCCAAAGUUAAAUUACGUUAAUGCAAUUUUCUGUUUGUUUUGUCAUGAUGUUUCAACGAUCAAACCUAAAAUAUAAAAUAUUUUAUUUUAUUUAUUCAUUAAAAUAUAUAUAUAUAUUGGUGACAUUUUAAUAAUAUUUAAUUUUCACAAAAAAUUAUCAAACACCGCAAUAAUUUUACCACGUCUGAAAAGGGCUAGUAUUAAUAUUUUGUAAAAAUUUAAAAUAUCUGAUUAUUUUUAACAAAAAAACAUCAAAAAAUAACAUAAUCGAAAAUAAUGAAAUUGUUAUUGUCGUUAGUUCAUAUUUUCGUUUUUUUCUAUAGGUUUUUUCUUAAUUAUUAAGAAGACUACAAAGAAUAUUACCACCCUAAUCCACAAACUAGAUAUAAUUUCAGAUAAGAUUCUACACUUGAAAAAUGGAGCAAUAUUAAUAUUAAUAUGGAACCAUACAAGUAAAUUUACAAAAAUGUAUGUACAAUGUCAUUAUGUGGCAUAUCACGUGCACUUAUUAAUUUUGACCAUAGUUAAUUGUAUUAAUUAAACAUUUUACUAAAUAUAACUCAGUAUUUAUUUAUGAAAAACUUCAUAAAAGUAAGCAAUGCACAAAUUAGCUUAUAUAAGAUAAAUACUAUUGGGAUAAAUACAAAAAGGUAAACGAAAAAUUUAAUGAAUAUCUAUACGAAAAUGGUCUUCCUAAAGUACCAUUCCAGUCAGUUUCUUUUCAGAAAUAGUGCUUUCAUUGUAAAUCAGAGCGAAAUUGUUGGUAGAAAAUUUGUCACAGAUAAAAAAAUAAAAUUUAAAAAAAACAUCAUUGUAAAACCAAUACAUUCCUCACUCUACUCAAAAUCUAAAAUGUUUAAACAAAAUAGAGAUCAUCAUCAUCAAAUAUUAUUAUGCAGUAUAAGAGCUCAUUAAUAUGAUAAUUUUCAAAAUGAAAAGGAAUAAAAAAUUGGAAUUGGAAACAAGUGUUCCAGGUUGGUACUUUUAAGUGAUUGAGAGAAAGAAGAUCAAUGAAACAAUCAAUAAAACCAGAGAUAAGUUUUUGGAUAGAUAAAAUAUUUAAAACAUGUCUACGAUAUAUUAAGGAUAUGGAAAACAAUAUCAUAAUCCCGAGGCGAACAGGGGACAUUUAACUUAAAACUCGGAAAAGAUAUACAUUUCCGUUGGACACGAUUUAAUGUAUACGUAUCGACUGUUUGUGAAUCUCAAAUAACUGAUCAAUAUUCUAGUAUUUGUAUAAUAAAUGUACAAUAUAGUGACUUAAGCGAAAUAGAAAUCUUUAAUUCAGAACAAUUAUUUUAAAAAUACCUAGUAACUUAGAGCCUAAAAAGAAAUUAUAUUUUUGUGGGUAUUUUAUAAUAUUUAUUAUUAAUGCAUAUAUGUGUACAUACAAUAUACAUAAGUAUAUAUAUAUAUACAUAAAGCAAAUACACAAAAUAUAUUUUUUUAUACAAAAACCUAUUAUAUUGAAAAUGUAUCAUUAUUUUAUACAAAUUAAAAUAAAUUAAGUAUUUCAUAAAAAUUCAAAAACAGAUACUCAUAACAGCCGUAACCCUGAAUUCUAAUACUACUACGUUUUAUUUUAUCAUCUAAAACAUAAAAAUAUAUAAUCUAGUUUUAAUUUUUUGAAGGGCUUAACUCUUGUGAAAAAAUGUUUAGCGAAAAAGACCCUUCUAAUAGAGAUUAACUAAAAAAAUGUAGUUUUACAUUUAUGAAUUAAUCAUCGCUAUUUUAUUUUUAAUAUAUUAUUUAUUUUAUACCAUUUAAUUUUUAAAUUAUCUUAAUAAUUUAAUGUUUUUCUACAGAUUAAUUUUUUCAUCAAUUAAAUUUUUUUUAUGUCAUUUAAAUAGAUCUAUUCAACAAAAAAAAAUCAAUUCUUUUCACAAUUGAUUAUAAUUCGAUUUUGUAUUAUAAUUUGAUUUUGUACCUACAUAAAAAUGGUCGCAAUUUUUAAAUUAAAACUAAAAGGACCUCUUUUUUUUUCACUGCAAUAAUAGAAAAGAGCAUUCGAAAAGCAGUAAAGUCGUUGGGUUUUACAAUAAAUAUCUCGACGACAUUGGUCGGCCACUUUUAUGCGGUUCAGUGGUUACAGUAUGGUAAGAAGAACGAAGUUUUACAGCAAACAAACAAUGCAUGAAAAAAAACAUUUAAAAACAAGAGAAAAUCAAAAUCAAAUGAAUUUCCCGAUUCAUUUUCUGAAAAAAAAGUGUUCAUUGAAUUAUUCAAAACUGGAACAGUCAGUAUAGGUAGUUAAAAAUUCUUUUUGGAUAACUUUUGACAUAUUAAGUUAAUAAAAAUAGAAUAUAAAUAUAACUCAGGUAGUUAUUUCGUUAAAAUUAAAUUACAUAUAAGUUAUACUAGAAUUAUUUGUAAAAAAAACUUUAUUGCAUUAGUUUUUCGAUAAAAAUUACGUACCUCUACGUAAAUUCCAUUAUCACAUAACACGACAUGUCACUUGUUUAUAAUGUACAUUGUAUGUAUAAUAUAUAUGCAAAAUAUUAUUUUUUCUCACCCCUUCCCCUUGUGUCUUUUGUUAAUAACCGCUUCUACAUAAAAUUGCGAAUAAGUUUCCAUAGUUUUCAUGAACAUAUUUCAAUAUAAAAACCUAAAUGUCUUUUCUUUUUUACAUAUUUCAGAUACCUACUAUUCCACUGAAAUAUACUAUACUAAUUUCAAUUAUUUACAAUAUUUAUAUUUUAUAUUUAACACACAUAUUACACUUUGGAAGAUUAAUAAAUAAUUAAAAGAUUUUUCGCCUAUAAAUCGUGUGUCAAUAUGUAUUAUAUUUACCCCCGUCCUUAAAUUGAAAAGCCUACGGCAUAUAUGCAGUGGCAGUAGCAUGUACACAUAGGUUUUAUCAAUUUGUAUGAAAACCAACACUCCACAACAAUUGAAAACUAAAAAUCGUCCCCGGUAAAUGCAUUAGAAGUUUAAACCAAUCAAAUUUAUCAAUAAAAUUAUAAAUACACAUACAGUAUCUGCGGCUAAUUUGAUCAAAAUUAUCCAUUUUGUAACCAAGUAUCCAAAUCACUGAAAAGUCAAAUACUAUUUUACACAUCCACUUAAUAUGGUAUGCCAAUAAUCGUUGUUAUAGUAUUAAUUAUUAUUCAGAAAACUAAUCACAAAAUAAAGUUGCGUUAUGUAACGUAGUUUUAUUAUUUCGUGAUCAUAAAAACAAAAAUAAUUAAUAUUGUUUAAACAACUGAUAAUUGCAUUAUAUUUUUAUACUUUUUAAUAACAGUGAUAUCGAGAACAUUAAAAUAAAGUUGCCCGCAUAAAGUUUCUUAAAUAAAGUUAUAGGCUAUUAUGUAAUUAACUGUAUAUUAUAAUCUUCGAAUAACAUACUAUCUGAGUGUUAUGAUUUUUCGCAAACAUUUUAGUGUAUCUCAUGAUUGUAUAAAUAAAACCUAUGCAAAUUAUACGUAACUACGAACUCUAGUUCGAAUAUUUUUUAGAAAUUUACAUUUUUUGAAAAUUUCCUCCACGCGACACCUUAAAUACUACUAAAAUACUUUUUUAUAGUUAAAGAUAUAAAUAGUUUCAUAGGUUAUAAUCUAUACCUACUAUAAACUUAAGUUCGUUUCGUUUUUUAGUAAAUAUAAUAAGAUAAUCAAAUUAAAUUCUUAUAAUAACAACUGUAUAUUGUAUUCUAUGUAUGAAAAAUAUAAAUUUGAAACGGUGCAAUAGUAUUUUUAAAUUUUACUUGGUUUAACAAGUACAACAUUUAUAAAAAAAUUAAUCAUAUAAACUAUAAAAGUUACAAAAAAAAAAUGUACAACAAUAAUUAUGUAGGUAUAUUAAUAAUAAUAUCUACAUUAUUUUAAAAUAUCAUGAAUUUAAAAUAAUUAUAUAUUGCUUAUAAAUUAAAAUAACCCGAAAAACCUAUACACUAACAUGACAGAUAAUGUUCUUAUGUUUAAAAAUAGUUCAAUUCACUUUAACAUUAAACUGAUAGUACACAAUUUUCCCCAUUAAACACAAAUUUUUUAUACCUAAUAUGAUCUGUCUAUAAAAAAAUUUCACAAAAAUUGCGUACACACAACCCCUUAUAUAAAUGGUUUCAACAUAUAUAUUCACAAAACCGAAAAAGUAAAACAAUUUUAAAUUUUAAAUACUUUAAAUCAAGUUAUCAAAAGAUAUAUAUAUAAUAAUUAUUGAACUAAGUUAAAGUUAAUUUUAAAAUAUAAUUUAAUUUUAUUAACUUAUUGACUCAAUUAAAUUACUAAUUGUUAGAAAAAAAUAACUUAAGUCAAGCUCAAAUGAAAAAAUUACUUUUAACACACUCAUAAACGUAUUUUGUACUUUUUGAUCGAAAAAUAGUGUUAUUAUCUUAGUUUUGAUAUAAUAUAAUAAAGAAUAAUAAGGAAAACAAUCACUAUUGUGACCAGGGGCAAUAUUUUUUAAAAUGUAUACCACACGCAUACUUACAAACUCGUGUACGUACAAUUCGUUACCUUUGCUAGUAUGCAUUCACUAUGUCGUAUCUUCAAACAGCAUACAAGCUAUAUUUAGGAAUUAUUCAUAUGUGUACAACAAGUAUGUAUAAAACAGUAUACAAAUUUAGUCAGUAACACUAAUAUUCAUAAAUUCAUUAUAUGUAUUAUGUUAUCACAGUUUUGGAACGUUUUAGCAGGUGAUCGGAACACUAGAGAUAGUAAAUACUGUUUUCUAUAAUAUUAUUGGUUUUAAAUUCUGAAUAGAGCGAGAAAUAUAUUGGUUUAACUAAGGUAUGUCUCUUUUUUUAAAUCUGUAUUCAAAUUUUCUACUAUGAAUCUUGUUUCAAUAAAAAAUAACAAAGAAAUGUUUUAUUGGAUCUAGUUGGUGUACUAUUACCUGGCUAUUUUUUGAUUUUUCAAGUUUUUUUUGUAAUAAUUGAGAAAAACUCGAGAAAAAAAACAUAUUAAAAACCUCAUAUAUUUACGUUACGAUUUCAAAAUUUUAAUUUUUUCAAUUUUUGUUAUCUUCCAGAAAUCUUAUUCCAAAUUUCAAGCGUAGUAAUUUCCGUGGAGUUUUAAAAUAAUUGGGCAAUCUAGGAGAAAAACAGGAGUUUAAUUAAAAUAACGGUUUCAUUAGGUACCUAUAAUGAAUUGUGUUUUGUUUUUGCUGUAACUCGGUUAGAAAUAAUUGCAGGAAUCUAAAAUUUUCACUGAACACUUAUAUUAGCCUUUUAUAAAUGAUUUUUAAGCUAUUCAUAGGCAUUUUCCAUUCUCAAGUUUUUUCCUCCCGUUUCCACCCCGUACUUAUCACAGUUAAUCGUUGUUGCCCGAUAAUUUAUUUAUUUUAAAGGGUACUUUUUUGCCCGUGACACCCAAAUUAACUAAUAAUAACUGUCUUUUUGUUCAAAGUUACCCAUAAAUCAACACAAAUAAUUCAAUUUUCUUUCCAAUACUACCAUAAUCUUUGCGCCAAUAACCCUCUAGAGGCUGAAUUUUGAAAUAAAAAGUAACCUAUAGCCUUCCUUAAUAAGCGAGCCAUCUAAUCCAAUCAUAUUUUUCAAGUCGAACCAAUAGUUUCUAAGGUUAACGCUUUCAAACAUAAAAACUUUUCAGCUUUAUAUAUUAAUUUAUAGAUACAUAGAUAUUUAGUUAAAUUUUUUUUUUCAUAGGUACAUCAUAUAUUAAACGAACGUUCUAUAACGUCUUGUGAUUGGCAAAAUUGACAAAAAAAAAAAAACAAAAACAAAAACAAAAAUAAUUAUUUACUAAUUCUGAUUAUUUAUUGUCAUGAAAGUGUAGAUUUUCUGAAUUCAUCUAAAUGUAGCGAUUUUUUUAAUCCGGCUCACAUAAUAUAAACAAUAAUACUAUUUUGUGAAUAAAUAACGAACAAUCAAAUAUUUAAAAGUGAUUAAACUACUGAAUUACGUUAUUAAAUGAAAAACCUUGAUAAUUGUUUAAAUUUAAUCAUAGCAGAUACUUAUAGUAGGAAAUAUCUUAAAUUAAUAAAAUUGCUCAUAAAACGUAUACAUAAAUUACCACCAAGUAUCAAGGGAGGAUAGAUGAAUAUUAAUGUUAGCCCGGGAGAAAAUCAACCAUCAUCACGGCCUACUAUGUUAAAAAAACCAGGUAGCCCACUGGAAAAAUCCUUGGUGUUCCGGUGAGCCUAUCUGCUCCUGCUAAGUGUGAUCAGUAGCAACCAAAAGAAAACUACGCAAAUGUUCGUACUUACGUCCUACAUGCUCGAUAAGAGUUGAAAAAUAUGCUUUUUGAAUAUACUACAUAAAAAUCACAAUUUAAAUACACUUGUGGUCGUUCAUUAUUUUUAUGUUCAGUUAAAAUAUAAAGCCCUUGACUUUUUGUAUAAUAUAACGUAAUUCAUGAAUAUUCGUAAUUUUGGUCAAACAAUGCAUAGAUAUACUAUUUUUAUAUGAAAAAAAUCUUAAUUAACUUUUUAGAAAUAACUUGAAUUUUAAUAAUUAAAUAACUAAAUUAGGAUAAAAUUUAUUUUUAAAAUAAACAGGUAUUAGGCAACUAAUUUAUUCUGUAUAACGAUACAUUUUUGUUUAACUAUAGUUAAGUUAAAAGUUAUCAAAAAAUAAUUGUAGCUUGUAUAAUUUAACUUUUGGCUUUUUAAUUGUAUAGAUACUAGCCUCUAACUUUGCGUAUACAUAAUAUAUAUCUACCUACAUAAAAAAAAUUAUAAAAAAAAAACCAAAAAUUACCUUUUUGUGGCACAUCGUCUUGAAUAGGUGAUGGUUUGGUAUCGGUCGCCACGCGUGUGACUACUACGGGGCGGUUUCGACCUAACACUGCCGGCGCGCGACCGUGUGAUUUUUCGGCGAAAACGCAACCGAUGGUUUAACGGUCGGCGGCGGCGUAGAACGGCCGUGCAAAUUCCACGGUGGCGCCUCGUUCUCCUCGGACUUUCGACAUUUCCCAUUUUUACCUCCCCUCGUCGAACGCAACACCGCCGCAACCAUCCCGAGCAUCCUAAAAUCGUGUGACUACGUUUUCUACAUACACUAUUACGAUAACAUAAUAGCAAAACGAUUCUGACGAAAACAAAUUCAAAAAAUUAUAUUUCUUAUAUUACUAUUAUAUCUAUAUACGGGCAAACCUUUUUUACAGAAAUAAUUUAGAAUUUAAAUUAAAUACAUUUACACGUGAAGGAUAUACAUUUCCGCAAAAAAAGAGGUGUCCCGAUUGGUCGACUCCAUUAACCUACGAACUGACUCAUUCGAAAUACAGUUGGUGUUACAUAUUGCAAAAUUAUAAAUAGCGAUCUUGUGACCUACCCAAAUUAGAGUGUACAAGGUAUGGAUCUACGGAGUGUAUGGUCCGUACUCAACAGAAUCCAUACUGGUCUAGGAUGGUGCGAUGCCAUGAUGUUCAAAUGGGGUUUAAAUCCCUGCAUGUAACUGUAAUUUUAACAACCAAACAAUAUACCAUAUUACGAUAGAUUUUCCAGAGAGGAAAUUUAUUCAAGUCAUGUGCAGCGAAUACCGAUGCAUUUAAAUGAAUUCAAGAAUUAGCCUAUGGUAAUCUGUUAAUUAUAACUAUAUAUUCAUUAUUAUAAUUUUUUUUUGUUGUGUUAUGUUUAAUUUAUAUUUUGACUAAUAUUAAUAUUUAUUUUUUUUUUUAUAUUGUUACAGUAAACUUAUCAUAAAAAUUUCACUAACUCUAAAUUUGUAAAUUUGUAAUCAUAUAUUAUUUAUUAAUGUUAUUAAUGUUACCAUACGAAAUAAAUAAACAAAUUGGGAUACAAAAUGAAAUAGUUUAGAAGAUAUAUCGAGGAGAACUUCAAAAAUAAAUAAAAAUGAGAUAGAUGGAGAAUCGUCAUAUCAAACAGUACACCGUUAACACAUUUUAUGUUGGCCUUAUGUCUGCGGUCAAACAAUGAAGAAAGAUUUAGUUGAUUGGCAACAGAUAUACACUAAUGACAAUGUAAUCAUUUCCAGGAUGAGGUACUUUCAAAAUGAAACCAACAAAUCUUGAGAAAUUAUGUAGAACAUUAAAUAAUAGACCCAACGAUUUACCGAGUUUAACUCUGUGUACAGGAGUGAAUAAAAUUAGUAAAAGAAAAUGGAACGCCAGUAAAAUGUUCAUCGCGGAAAAAAAACAGAAUAGAUUAAUAUAUUGGCGAAUAGUUCAAUAAUUCAACAUUGUUUUUACUUAAAAUCGAUAUCACAAAUACAAAAAUAAAUUAUUGUUGUUUUAACAUUUAAUAAUUUCUUGAUAUGUUUUUUUUUAAUUAUUAUUAAUUUUGCACAUAUCACUAAUUCCGAGUGUUAUUAUUUCCGUACUCUUACUUGAGUUUAAUAUGUUAUAUGUUCUCUCUAAUAAGCGUUUGGUUCCUAAAAUUUGGGUUCUUAUAAAUUAUAAACACGUGUUCUGGUAUACAAUUAACGGUAUUAAUUGUCACAAGUGCAUUAAUAACCAAUUAAAAUAGAUUUAAAAAUUAAUUAGUUCGAUAUUUCAGAUUCCACUUUUGAUAAUUAUUGUAGGCAUGAAAUAUUGAUUAUUGUAUUUAUUUGAUUUCUAACAAUUUUAACAAAAAGCGUAAUAAAAAAAAACUAAUAAAAUCAUUUAAAGUUACAAAUUAUGUACAUGGAUUCACUUAUAUUAUUAAAACUACUGCUACAGUAUUAAAUUAAAUAUUAAUUCAUUAACGGUGUACGAAUUUAUUAAUGGUGUAUCGUUACCAGUGGCGUAGCCAUAGGGGUUUUAGGGGUUCAAAACCCCUCUUGACCUAAAAAAUAAAAGGAUACAGAAUUUGUUUUUAUAAUUUAUAUAAAUUUAUAAUUUUUUUAUAUUUAUAAAAUUUAACGUAACUUAUUUUAGGCAACUUUAGAAUGUUUAAAGUUUUAAUACCACAGAAUUGAUUAAAUUAAUAAGAAGUAUUAAUCUAUGAAAUUAUUAUUAUAUAAAUUAUUUGUAAUAGCUUUUUGGUGAGAAAGUGGCUUUAUGUCGUGUAAUACUAUAUUGCCACGUACGAUGUACCUAUCGAUAUCAAUUUUGAUUGCAGAAUGAAGUAAUAACGCAUUAAUACACUAUACACAUUACGUACUACGAAAAUAAAAAUGAAUGCACACUACGGUUAAUUGAUUUUGAGCUUUAAUCAUACUGCUGAGAGUUUAAAACGUUGUCGCUUUGUCAAAAAAUGCAUAGGAAGUUCGUAUAACAAGUAACCCAUUCAUUUUUUAUCUACUUAUAAACUUAUACAAAUACUAGCUACACUUUUCAUAACUACAGCAAGCAGUUCAAAGUAAUUUUCUAAAUUUUAAAGACUGAAGACAUAUUUUAGAAACAUUAUUAUUGGAGAAAAUAGAUUAAACGGUUUAAUAUUACUAAAUAUUCAUCACGAAAUAAUUUUAAUAAUAGAUGAAAUUCUUAAUAACUUUGCGAAAGACUCUAGGAAAAUAAGAUUGCUAUAUCUUAUAAUUUAUAAUGUAAAAGCAAAUAUAUUAAUAUUAUUAUAACUUAAUAAAAAGUUGUUUUAUUUUAUAUUAGACCCGAGCGUAGCAUAUUUUUACUUAUCUAUAAUAAGUCAAUAAGUGUGUACUGCGUUUACAAUAAUAAUUAAGAACAUUAACAUUAACAAUAGGAAUAACUUUAACAUUCACAAAUAUCAUUAUUCGGUUAAUCAAAAAUUUAUUCAAUUAGCAUAAAACUCAGUGGUGUAUUUACAAUUUUACCGCUCUGGAGCAAUAUAUUUUAGAGAUGAGCGAAAAAAAAAAGGUCAUUGAUGCCCACCUCCCCUUUUAGGUGAUUUCUACGCUAUUAAUCGGUACCAACUUUUAAACAACCCUUACAAUAUCUAUAUAACACAUAUUAUUUGAAUACAUUUUCAAUGAUUUCCUUGAAAUUUACUUAUAUGCAACCCCUUCAGCACAGAGUGCCAAGUGGUUUAGGUACUCUUAAAGUCUCAGCAGUUUUAUUUUAUGGUAACUUAUCCAUUGAUUCUUUUUUUUUAUUUUGUUUUUUUUUUUUUACAUGAAAAAUUUUCACCGUCAUCCCUUAUAUAUUAACUCUACACCGUCGUGACCUCACCACAGUAUCGUUUUAUUUACACUUGUUUCACAUAUGUCCUCCGCCGUUGUAUGUACUUAUAUUAUAUUAUGUGCUUUGUGCUUAUAUUAUUUGCGUUCUCUCAUCGUCGAAAUUUGAAAUCACGGCAUGAUCUCCGAUCGAACAACAGGUAUCGGUCCGCUCCUUAACCCCUCCACCGCCUCCCAGUAUAACCACCACACCGUCCUACCUACACUGUACACGAACAUACACGAGUCGCCUACGCUCAAAAACCAUUUCAAAACCUUAAAAUAAAAAACGACGUAGAUUGUCGACAUCAUUCUCUUGUAAAUCGUUUUUCACCCGUACAAUAGAAUAGAUAUAGUAUAUAUAGCUAUACCCAUAGUACUUAUAAGCGAAACCCAAUAUCUUUCACGUUUUUGUUAUUAUUUUUCUUACAAAUAAAUAAUAUCACUCGUUUUAAAAAUAUAAUCAAUUUUCUGUCUUUACUAUUCUUAAGAAAUCAAAAUAAAAUUCUGUAGUACAAUUAUUAUUUUACUAAAUAAUUUAUUAAGUACAUCAAACAAUUUUAAACAACUAUAAACAAAAUUAAUUUUUUAACCACUAUACGUAUGGUAUUAGAUAGUUUAGUAGGUACUUAAAAAGUUUACAUCUAUAUUUCUAUAGGUUUAAUAGGUAUACAUAAACUUUAAAGCACACUAAAUCCCUGGAUCCGUGGCUGGAACUUUGACACGUUGCUAAAAUUUUGGUUUAUCGCACAUCCAAGCACUAUAAUAGUGUAACACCUGGCUUAGUUUAAAACUCACAUAAUAUGUCACUUUUCAUGAUCCAAUUUAGUCUAGGACCCGUUGGUUAUAUAUAUUAUAUUUAAAUAAUUAUUAAAAUCGGUUAUAUCAUAUAACGGUUAAAUGAACAAUAAAGAACAACAAUUUUCCAAUGUUUAUAUUCUGAAAAUUAAAACAAAAACUAAGAAACAGAUUUGUUUACUCCUUAUAAUUUUGUUCUUAGAUAACUAAAUAUACACAAAUCAUGCACAAUUAAUAACAUUAUAACAUAACCUAUUAUUUAUUUUUCAAUUAUUAAAAUCAUAUUACACAAUUACAAUAUGUAACAAUUCGAUUAUCUAUUUAAAUAUGUUAUAAUUAGUAAAAAUUGAUUUUAUCAUCGUAAUAUUUUAAAAAUUGCAUAGGCUUGAAAAGUAUUUCAAUGGCUAUAGUACUUUUGGAUGAUAUCUAAUAUACCUAAUGAAAUAAAAUAUAAUAUCCGCGUUCAGUAAUUUCAUAAAAAAAAAAAAGAGCUGAUAUUGGAGACGGGUGCAGCCACUGUUGUAGGUGGGAAGUUGAGAAGGUAGAACACAUAAGAUUACUUCAUUUAUAUUAAUAAGCAACAAUAAACCAUUGCUUGACGAAAGAUAAUUCUGAGCGCAGUUCGGUAAUACAAAAUUUGAAGUGCUGUAAUUUUUUUUGCGAUUUUUGUUUCAAUUUGAUUUCAACUCUUAUAAAAAAAAUAAAAAAUGUCGUCCGACGAUUUAGGAAAUUUUCCCACGUCUAGGUAAGUUCAAUAUAAGUAUUAUUACCAAGUUACAGGUCUCUACGUGUGUUUAUAACCGAAUUACAGCAAAAACUCCCAAAAAUUAAAAUUCCUUAAAAGCUCAAAAGUAACUCAAAAGUUUUGGCGAUAAUACUGUAAGAAAGUAAAUAAAAAAUACAACAAUCGUAUAGAUCCCCUCAGAAUCUAAAACAUGACAUUUUUAAUAAUUCAUAGUUUUUCUAAUAUUCAUUGUAGGAUAAUAAAUGUUUAAUAAUUGUUAAAUCAUAAAUGUGCAAAUAAUACCUAAAAUAUGGUUACCUGCUUAUUUGAAUAAUUAGCCCGUAAAUAUUAUUACGUGUAAUAUUUCAUCUGCCCAACAUUAAAAACAUUUAAGUAUAAUAAUAUUAAUAAUUAUAUAUUUGAUAUGAUUUUUUUUUUAUAGCACUUACAAGGAAGGGAAGUUAAAUCGACCUCUAGAACCAUCAGAUCUCACAAUCAAUUUUCCAACAAUACGAGUAUUAUCUUCACUCACUUCCAAAAUCGUCCAGUUCGGUCUACCUACUGAAGUUUCCAUAUCCUUUUCAAUUACAUCGUCCCGUCUCAUUUUUUGUCUUUCCAUUAAGUCUUUGCCCUAUCGCGUUCUGUUCUUAAUGUAACAGGUAUUCACUUCUCCACGCAUGUCCAGCCCAUCACAGUCUUCCUUUUUUAAAAAUCUCUAGAAUAUUCUUUUCACUAUACUUGUUUCUAAAUCUCUGUUUUUUCUUCAUCUUCACUCCCUGGUCAUUCUAUCCCUAGUAAUAAAACUUUACUUUCUCAAUUCGUAAUCUAAAUGUUGCUAACAUAUUAACAUAUUGCUGAAUAUACAUUAUGACUAAAUAUCAUCAAAUUAUUCUUAUGAAUUAUAAAUUUAUUUAAAAUUUAGAAAAUGAAUAUUAUUAUAAGUAUAAAAAGAAAACAUAGAGUUUUAAUAAUAUUUUCUAUAUAUGUUUAAUAUUUUUAUCAUUUUAGAGAUUUUAAAGGCAUGUAAAUUAUAAAAUUGUAUAAACUAACAUUAACGGUAUUUUCAUAACUCUUAUGUAAUAUUUGUUUAAAUUGUAAUUUACUCGAACCCCAUUAUAAUAAUUUUUUCAUAUAUACAUUAAACCAAUUAUAUAAAUAUAUUUUCUUAAAUUGAAUUAACAUAAUCAUCUAAAACACUAUAAUGUUUUGUUUGUUUCGACAACAAUUUGACGUACCUACAUAAUACAUUAUAAUUUAUAUUUUAUAGAUUUCUAAUCUUGAAAUCAAAUCGCUUUGCAAAAAUUUUAGAAUAACCAUUAUGUUGUUUAAUUUUCAUGACAUAGCAGAUAUAUAUCAUGUGUUUCCCACGCAUUAUGCUUAUUAUAAAAACAUGCAUUUAGUUCAAUCGGAUUCUGAAGAAAAAACUUCGUUAAAAUUAUACGCGUUACAUAAUUUUUGUUAGCAUAGCAGUUUUUUACUUCGUGUUCAUUCUCAUUAACAUCGACCAACAGUUUCUCUUUAUACGAUAAGCCAUAAUAUAUAAUAAUAACAAACAAUGUCUGGAUCCUAUGGUAAAAAUUUGAUAUUCAUUUUAAGAUAAAAUCUGGUUUUAUGCAGGAAGACGUCAAUGAACUUUUAAAUUCAUUCAUAUCUAUUGGUACCUGUAUUAUCAACUAUGUCACCAAUUUAUAUAAAUAAGUUUAUUGUAGCGAGAUUUCGGGAUAAAUACCGCUUCACAAAAUUUUGAUAUUUAGAAAGUUUAUUUUUCAAAAACUAUACGGAUAUGGUGCAAGAUACUAAAGAGGACCAUUAUAGUCCAUAUUAAUAUUGAUGACCAACAGUCAACAACGGAUUAAAGUUAAAUUAUGACGUAUAAUGGAUUCCCUAACGUCGUAUAUAAUAUCUAUCUCCGUAAAUAGAUUUGUUUUUUUUUUCAAAUUUAUUCAACCUUAUUGCCACUAAAUAAGGUUCUCUCUAACAUUUGAUAGGUAAAAAUAUGUUCUUAUUUACCAAAACUAUCAACGAUCAAUGUAUUCAUAUACCUCAUUACAGUACAGAUAUACCGUACGCAUAAUAAUUUAACAAUUUCCAUUUUCUAUCAAACGGUAAAAAUGAUUAAUAACAUAUUUUCGUAUUCAAAUGUAUCCAACACUAGAGAUAAUAUCUCUAAAAUUCUAUUAUUAAAUGUACGGGGGUAUUGUAUUUUGUUUCUCUUGAAUUGUAAAUUAUUGAAAAUUCAUUAUAAUAAUAUUAAUAAAUAUACAAUUUCUAACAUUGGCUAUACUUCUAUAAUAUUGAAUAUUUAGUAUAUUCUGGACGUAAAUUAAUAAUUUAAAAUUUAAAUAAAAUAGUUAUAUAUAUAAUUAACAUCGAACUAGAAAAAUAAAUCUACUUUACAAAAAAUUAUAACAAAAGUCUUAUAUUCACUUACAUAGAAAAACAUUAUAAAUAUUAUUUAAAUAUAAUAUGCAUCUUAGCGAUCUUAGAAUUUUAGGAAAAGAUACUCAAUGAUAGUAUAAAUAUGUUUAUUAAGGAAAAAAUAAUUAUUACGUAGUAACAUUAUCCAGUAAUAUCAGUAAAUAUUCGAAAUUAAAACCGUUCGUCCUUAAAUAUAUCGAAUAGAUACGAAUAGAUACCUACCUAUUUUUAAAGUAAUAAUCAUUACAAUAAUUUCACUCUAAAAACAUACGCCAACACAAAGUUUGUACGUUUAAUAAACUACCUAUUUACCUAUCAAAUUUACAACAAAAACGAUUUCAUAAAUUAACGGCAUAAAGUUAAUUUACAUAUUAUAUUAUUUUUGUCCUGGUGUUUGAAACAAAAAAAAUAUAUGUAUAUAUUUAUUUUUUUAAUUUAUUACUACAUAUUAUAAUAGCUUCAAGAUUGUUCAAUAUACUAUGAAAAAUGAAAUUAAAAACUACUAUACAACAACAGCUAAGUGCCUAGAUGAAAUCUAUGAAAAUAUAAAAACUAUGGAUGGAAUAAAAUACAUUAUUUACCUACGUAAACACACUAACCUAACACAAAAUAAUACGAAACGUACAAAUUAUGUUAUUAAGAUUUAAGUCACUGUUUCGGUAGUUUCUAUAUUAAACGGACAAAGAGAUACAAAAAUUAGCUAAAAAUACAUUAUGUACACAAUUAGUGCAGUUUAGUGAUGGACACUUCUAAAUAGUUUAUGUUAUCAAUAGUUUUCGAUAAUUUAAAUAACUAUUCGGUUGUGCCCACUACUAGUGUAAGGAUCUGCGUACACAGAAGUCAGGAUUCUGGUUGAUAAAUUAUUCUCAUAAUUAUUUAUAAAUAAAAUAUGUCAUAUGAAAAAAAAAAUUCGUUUAAAUAGCCUAUACACAACCCCUUAAAUAUUACGUAAAUGACAUCUUUAUAACUAUCGGGAUUCUGAAUUGUCAGAAUUUCAGUGUCGAAAUAUUGAACUAAUUUAUUAUUGUGAUUUUACAACCUCUGUAUGAAGGAAGUUUGAAGACCCCACUCCCCUCAAAAUGGAUAUCAAUAUAAAAUUUAAACAUUUGUGUUUAUAGUAGGUAGUUUUAUUUACUAUAUUGAUAAAUAUUUUUACACUUGCUUUUAUACUAACAUGUUAGAGUAAAUAAGUAAAAUCUUGAACAAAAUUUUUAAAUUUAAAUAUUUUUUUAAGUACCUAUAUGAAAAUAUAUCAAAAACCGAUGAUGUGAAUAAAAUAUAAAAUCGAUUAAUACACAACCAUUUCUAUUCAUAAUUUUAGAUUUUCAUAACUUUCAUAUACAAUUUUAUCUUGUAUAACAUAUUAAUUUAAAACAUAAAAUAUUAAGUGCAAAAAACUCAGGCCCAAAUGCUCGAAUAUUAAUGUUUAUAUAAGAUUUAUAUACUAUUAUAAUGUAUUUUAAUUUAAAAGCCGACAUACUUUACCAUCAUGGAUGCGGGUUAUAGACGUAAUGGUGGAAAAAUAAGACACAUUGCUAUUGUGUUUAAAUCAACUGCAUUCAAAAAUAAUUCUAUGUAUCAAACUAAAAAUUUCAAAAAAAAAUUCUCUAUUUAAAAUAUUAAAUGUUAUUUUUAAUGUCAAAAUAUAUAUCUACAAACUUUUGAAAUAUUUUUACUGACCCGAAAAAGGCAUUACAAAACAACAGAUCUUUUUCACUCUUUUCGGGAAACGUAUGCAAAUAAAUACAAAAUAAUACGUAAACGACGUAUACAUUUAAACAUAUUCAGUAAAAACGAUGCAAUAUAAUAGUAUAAUGUAAUAAUAUUAUGUAAACUAGAAGAAUUAUACCCGAUUCGUAUCCACUAAAAAUUAUUAGUGUUGGCGAUGCUAUCAAAUAUACAAAAUAUUUUAAACGAGAUUUCUAUUUUUUAUUUCAAUAACCUAACCUACAAUCAAUAGAGUAAUAAUAUUGUUUUCGAAUUAGUAAAUAGGAAGGUAUAUUACAGACUUCUAAAAACUAAUUUGAAUUUUAAUAAUAUUAAUAUUUAAUAAUAUUACUUAUGUAGACAUUUGUUUACCAAUAAAAUAUUCACAUUUUUUAUGAAUAUACCCAUCUGCCCAAUAUUAAUAUUGUAUAUUAUUAAUUCUAUCCCAAUCACGGGAGAUAUUUGUAUCCGCAUGUGCUGUCUCCAUCUUAGCAAAUUUGUGUUCACGUGGGGCAGCUUUGUGCUGUUAGUUUUAAUAUUAGAGUGACCUAGUUAUAAAUUAAAAGAUAAGAACAUUAUCUGUGAAACGUUUUUUUUUUAUAAUAUUUUAAUUAUUAAUAGAGAUAUGAAUAUGUGAAAUAUCACAAUUUUAUAAUGCUUUUAUCUCACAUGAAAAUUAAAAUAUCAAAAAACAUCACCAAAGUUGCACAGAUAACGUUCUUAUCUUAAAAUUUCAUAAACUUUCUAAUAAUUCACUCAAUAUAUAAAAACUAACAAGACAAAGAUAUCCCGCGUAAACACAAAUUUGCCAGAAUGUCGUACGUUUAUAAGACGGAGACGAUACACGCGGACAUAGCGUCAUCUUAAUUAGUAGAAUUAUCAUUAUUUUAAAAAUAUUAAUUUAUCUUAAAGUCCAUUAAAUAAUUGGUUUGUAAAUAUGUAAUUAUAAAUCGAUGUAUACAGUAUUGUAUUGAAAUAUUUCAAAAAAAAAAAUGUAUUAACCAUAUAGUAUUAUUUUUUUUUUACUAAUAUAAAUCUCCUAACUUACAAAAACUCAAACCGGUUAUAUAGGUACGCUAUUAAUACACCGAUAACCCAAUUAUCCAAUUUAUCUAAAUUUUAACCCCAGACCAGUUUAUUCGGCCUCCGUAAUUUGAAGUCUUUGCUUUAUACCGUCCUUGGUUUACUAACACAAGACUAUUAAAAGCCAUUCUUUUUUUAAAAUAUAUUUCUACGGAUUUACCAAUAAUAUAAUAUUAAAUAUACUCGGAUUAUAAUAUUACACCGUUUAAUACCUACGUUUAAAAGUUCUUAACCAACUUUUUAAGAAAUACAAAUUCAUUUAUUUAACUGUUCACUUUUAUAGAUUUGUAUUAAAUAUUUAAAUGCAUACCAUUGUACAAAAAACACUCUGAUUACCUAUUGUAUAAUAUAUUUUUUUUUAGAAUUUUAUUAAUUGUGCUGAUAAUACUCGUAUGAAUUCCUCAAUAAGGUAAUAAGUAAUAUUUCACCUAUUGAUACAGUGCCGUAUAUAUUAAAGCACCCUGAGACAAAAUAUUUGUUAGCCCCUAUACCUAAUGAAAAAUAGAAAUUAUACUCUUUGUCACCAAAUCAGCACUGUGAAUGUGUUUUUGAAAGAAUAAUUAAGUCUUAUUUAUUUAUUUAUUUUUUUUUUUUUUGUAAAUGAUUAACACAUUUAUGAAAAUAUGAAAUUCUUUGUAUAGUAACUGUUUUGUACAAUAGACAUAUAGACUUCCCAAAAAAAUGUACACCCCAAUGUAACUGCCUCGGUUACCCGUACGGAGCUACGCUUCUGAAUUUUUACUAUGACGCGUAUGUAAACUGUUUAAUUUACAUUUUUUCAAGUACUAAAAUUGUAAAUUAUGUAAAAUGAGUUGAUUUUUAAAACAAUUAAAAUAUAGUAUAAUAAAUGUUAAAUUUAUUAAUAAAUUUAUAUACAACAACAAAUUAAAGAAAGUUGGCACCAAAUGAUUACGACUUUUUUGUUUUUACGAUUAUAAUUACCGACAUUAAAAUUUCGAACAUAUUUAACAACACAAAUUGUGACAACGCUAAUAUAAAUUUUAGCUAACUUACCUAACUUUCUGAAUUAAAGAAAGAAAAAACAAAAUUUCAAUUUUUAUUUAUCGAAAAUUAAAUUUUGUAAAUUUGUUCGUUUUAAUAUCAUUUUCGAUGUUUUUACCCCGUUAUUCAAAAAAUUACAAAUAUUACGAAAUAAUGAUUUUUUAAAUCAUAUAUAAACGCACUUCGCUCGGAAUUAUUUUUCUUUAGCAAUAUUUUAUCAUUAUUUACCGAUAUAAAUUAAAUAAAUUUAUGUGUCCUAUCUUUCCAACUUCCCACCUAUAAUAGUAGUACCUAUCAGCGAUAUCAGCACUUUGUUCUAUUAGUUUUACUAUGAUUAAUGUUUUUUAACUAUACAAAAUUGACUACAAAAGCUCUUUUUCCCUGGGAUCAAAAUAUAUAGUCAUUAGGUUAGGUUUAAAUUCAUAAAUCGAUCGAUUCAACGAGGUCGUAUUCAUAUGUAGUACAAGAGUAUUACGAUAGAUAAACCGUAAUAAUUAUAUUUUUUUAAGUUUCUAACAAAUAAAUCCCAAUUCCUCCAUCAUCAUCGUUGAUCGGCCAUCGCAUAAAAAUAUAGGUAGGACGAUUUAUUCUUGUAGGUAUAACCGUAUAGGUAUAUAGGUAUACCUGUAUUGGAAAUUGUGUAUGACAAAAAAUAAAAAUAAUAAUAAUCUUUUUUAUGAUCUCGGGAAGAUCAUUUCAUAUCCGCUGCUAAAAUUGGCCAUUAAAUAAGGCGGUAUGCUCAUUGAGUGCUUACGGAGCACGCAUAAUCCGUAAGUUAUUAUUAUUACUAUAAUAUGAUGGUUUUUGUAGGAGUAUUAUAAUAAACGUGGUAAGUGCGUGUGAGCGUACCAAACGACGACGGCGACGGCGGUCCCCACGUACCUAUAGAUCGUGUAUACAGUGUGAUUCAUUUAUCGACGUGAACAAAUCCGGUUCGUCUGUAUGCAUAAACGAAUAUUUCGAAUGGAUUUAUAGACAAACAAAUAGAAAAGAGAAUAAGUGUAGCAGAGAUGAGAAUGCUUGGGUGGAUUAGUGGAGUGACGAGAGAAAAUAGGAUAAGGAACGAGUACAUAAAAGGUAGUUUAAAUGUGGCUUCGCUAGUGGACAAAUUGAGAAAAAAUGGACUGGGGUGGUUUAGGCAUGUCAUAAGCAGAAAAGAAUCAGAAGCUGUAGAAUUAUAAUGAAAAUAGACGAAGGAGGAAGACCGAAAAAGAGAUAGUUAGAUGUGAUCUACGAGGACGGGGAUUGUAUGCGAGUACAAUUUGGGGGAUCGGGUCAAGUAUAAGUUUAGGAUAAAGGUAGCCGACCCCCAAUAGUUGGGAUGAAAGCAAAGGAGAAGAAGAAGAAAAAUAAGAUCUCGAAUGGGCUUAUAUUACAAAGAGAUGUUUUUUUUUUCCAGAAGAUACUUUUAUGGUUAAUAAUAAUACUCCGAUUUUCAUGUCAUGUUCAAUAUUCCUUUUCGGAUACAUCUCUUUUUAUUUUUUUUUUUUUCGUGAAAACACUUGAUAAUGUUCCGAUUUGUUCACGUGUUUCUUCAAAAGAUACAAAAUUGUUGUCCGGCAAUACAUUAUUCGAUACAUGCAUAAAUAUUUUCAGCAGUUUAUUCCCUAUAAGUUGCCAUUUUUGGGGGCUUUUUGAUUUUCUUAUUAACCUCGGGGGACAUCCAUGAAGUGAGAAGGUUAGGGGUUAUCUCAUCCUAACUUGACUUAAAAACACUGUGAGUAUUUAUUAGGGGAAUUAAAUCUGAAAAAUCAUAUACUGCAACCAAGUCGCAAGAAAAAGCUUGAUUUAUUAAGGGUUGGCUUUUUUUGGAGGCAGCUAUUAUAAUUUCCCAAUAUCUAGUUGAGUAUAGAAGUUGAGAAGAUAUUUUACGAUUUAUUCGCGGUUUUGUUAUUUUCCGCCUAAACGCCCUCCCGUUUGAAUAUUUCUGGUCACUACACGCUGUUUUUUUUUUCUGACCGUGUACUUUUAUUACGGGCGUUUGGUUUCGACGCGAUGACGUUAAACGAAGCACGGUGUAUUUUUUUCGUUUUGGUGCACGCUCGCGUCCGUCCGACCGACCAAUUUUUCUUCUCUUAUUAGGUUGAUACCUAUACAAUAUAUUAUUAUGUGUACGCAAUAAAGAAUCGUAUGUGACCGCAGUGGUUAAAUAUAUUAUUGUGCGCGCGCCCGCGUAUGUAUAAAUAAUAAAACAAAGUGGAAAAAAAAAAAAACGAGCGGCGGCGUAAUCCGAAAAAUAUUGUAAAAUCUCCGGCGGCGGCGACAACGACGACGACGGCCGUAGACCCGGGCGACCGUCGAGGGCGGCGGCGGCGGUGACGUUUAGCCGGUCAAACCAGUUUUCUCUGCGGGCCGGACGACGGACACCCCGUGCAACCGGAGCGCGGACAUUAUACGUGUACCCGAUCAGGCGACGGCGGCGGCGCGGUGGCGGUGUUCAGCAUCCGACGACGCUGACGCCGCGUCACGGGCUCCCGAGACGACGGCCGACUGCACGACUGCGGCGGCCGGCCAGUUGCUCCGGUUAGGUUCUAUUUUUAUUACGCGCGGACGUUCCAGUGAUUCCCAAACAACGUGCAACCGCCGCCGCCAGUGAUCGACCGUCGAUCCUGACCGGUGCAGUAGUGUAUAUUAUUUACGGCGUACCGAUUUUCUAUUUCUCCGUACCAAAAUGCUUGCACUCGAAUCAAACGGUUUAGAAUAUUAUUUUCAAUAAACACUUAAAGACUGCAGUCUUACUAAAUACGCGAAAAUCGAAAUUCGUUACAGAAUACUGCAUAUUAUUUUCGACACGGAACUUUACAGGCACAUGAGAAUAUAUGCAAAGAUUCAGAGUUGAAUUUUGGAAGGGGGGGCUAUUUAAUGUAUAUCUAUAAGCACCGAUAAACCGUUGCUAACUUUUUUUUUUAUUGAAGUAAGAUUUCUGGCAAAAACAAAAUAAAAAAAUAAAAAUACAUCAUAAAAUACAAUCAACACACCCAUCAUUCCGCUUCGAUUUUCUUCUAUGAAAAUCUUGUAUUAAAUAUUAAUUAUUUGUGGAAGUAAAACCCUUUGUACAUUCUAUAGUCUGGGAGGGCCGAGGUUUCUGGAUCCCCCUCUAGAUCAGCCAAUGAUUGCUGAACUCCUGAUGAGUGAUUAUUCUCAACUUCAAACAAAAAUAAAAUCAUUCCUUAGGAAUAAUGUAUAAAAGAAUUAAACGUGCGUUAUAAUUGUGCAUAAGUCACAAAAAUGUAUUUAAUUUAUUUCAAACUAUUUUUGAAAUUUGUAUUUGUAGCGAGGACGGUAACGGUAACAACAAAAUUUGCUCAUAGUUUCAUACAGACAAUUGUCUAUUAACUUCAUAGACCUAAUGGAUAAGCAAUGUCGUCUUGUUACUGCUACAUAGAGAUAAUAAUAGACAAAGUUAUCAAUUUGACAAAUUUGGCCCUUCUAAAAAAAUUGCAUACUACAUAUCUACCCACGCGACCCCUUCACAAGAAAAUUCUUUAUACACUUCUGCGGUGAACGGCUAACAUAGAUACCUAUAUUAGUUAUAAAUGAGUUAGAAAAAUAAUAUAGUUCACUAUUCUGGAUAAGGAAUAGUAUUCUAUAAACAAAAUGCUAACACUAUAUAAUAACGGAAUUCCGAGAACGCAGAACGCUAUUUGCUAUUUUUUUUGCUAUUAAAAUAGCAAUACAAAAUAUCACCAUCCUAACGGAUGAAUUUUAAAAUCCUGAAUUUAAGCGUCAAGUCUAUAUAAUUCGAUAUUGGUUAACUUGGCUGCACUGACGAUGCGUCGUUUUAACGAUUUAAAUAAUUAUGAAUUAUUCGGUUAACUCUUUUUAUUUUUCAAAUAAAAUUGUUCUCCGGGAGAAAUGCAAAAUCGGCGUUCCGGCUUUUUAUUCCGCGUACCUUUAGUCGCCGACGCAGCCGUUUAUUUAUUAUAAUACAUUUAUGAUGCGGGUAUUGUUUUUUCGUCGUCGGCCGGCGACUUAAUCGACAGGCUCAAAGAUGUUUAGAAGACUUUAGAGAAUGUCUGCAGUACCCGUAGGUACGCGCGCGCGCAUACACCGCAGCAACAUAAUAAUAUUACAGGUAGGUACCUAUAAUACCCAUACUAUAUAUUGUAGUGUAACGACGACGACCUUGAGCCACAAAAAGCACCACGCGUAUAAUACCUACACCAGCCUCAUCCGAACCACGACGCGUCGUCGGUCGGCGGGAUACCCGACGGAAUAAUAAUAUUUAGAUAUGCUUUAUUAUUACGUUCACCCUCUGGGCGAACGGUUUAAAAAAUUACGCACCGUACGUAUACGCGUCACUCACUCUGGAUCGGCGUGCACCUGAAUAUACAUACUUAUAAUAUUAAUAUCGUGUAUAGGUGCCUGUAAUAUUAGUGCGCGGGGACGUGUUAUUUUCGUCCAUAUAAAAUUUAACAAAAAAAAACCGAAAUGCUACCGAGUGAUUAUUAUUAUUGUAUUGCACUAUAAAAUGGGUACCUAUACAUGGCUAUAGGUGUAAUUAAUAACUGCAUAAAUAUUACGCGAUGACCAGGUGACUUGAUCGAUUGCGCGGUUAACCGUUUUCCAAAUGCACUAUAUAAAAAAGACGGAUACGUGUUUCGCACGAUUGAUGGGCUACUGUUGUAUAGGUGAGAAGUUGGAGAGAUAGGACAUAUAUGGGAAUUUAAUGUAUAUCUGUACCUGACGAUUAAUCAUUGCUGACGAAAAACUAUUCUGAUCGGAGUUCGAUUAUACAUGUAUUGAAAGGCCGUAAUAUUUACGAUUUCCGUCGAAAUUUGAUCUUUUUGAUUCUUUUAAAAAAAAAAUUCUAUAUUAUACACUAUUUUUUUUUUUUUUUUUUUUUUGUUUUCACCACAAAAUACGACUUAUAAUGAACCUCAUGUUAAAUUUCCAUGCAUUUCUAUCAAAUCUAACUAUUUUAUUAACAGACUAUCAACUAAAAAUUACGUAAAAAGCUUACAAAAUUAAAAUAUCUAUAAAUAGCUCAAAAAUAACACAAAUGUUUUGAAAAUUUUACCACAAUUAAAAAAGGCAAAUAUAAGUUUUCUUUAUAAAUGUUAAGUCUCUACAAAUAUUUUAAACUGAAUUACAACAAUAAAACAAGAUUGAAAAUAAUAAAAUCCGUAAAUUUCCCGUUUUUACCGAUUUUUCUCAAUUAUUAUGAAAACCGCUUGAAAAAUCAAAAAAAUAACCUCUAUAAAGCAUCGCAUAGAUCAAAUUUCCUUUCAGAAAAGGUAUUAGACUAGAAAAUUGAAAAAAGAUAUCUGGUAGAAAUUUUGUACAUAGUAUAAAAAAAUAAUCAUUGUAAAACCUGGAAUACUCUCCUCGUUUAGAUAGUUUAAAACGAAAGUAUUAAAACCGUAUUAAUUGUAAUAUAACUAUAAUUAAGGACGCGACGUCAUAAUACACAUUAUGUUAUAUGGCUUUAACAAAUUAUCUAAUUUUAAAUUAGAUAAUUUCAAAUGUUCGUUCAUUAAAUCAAGUUUUUUGCUGUUGAUUUUAAUAGAUAUUUAAUAGAAUAGAUUGGCUUAUUAUCGAGCAUAAAGCUAAGAAUACUAUAUAUGUGUCUGUACAUCGAUUUUUUCUCGAUAUUUUAAUUUUCAAGCGAAUUACAAAGAUUUUUUUUUUUAAAUUUUAAUAUUACGCAAUAUACUAGUGUUUCACUUAGAAACUAAACGGAAUAAUAUGUUUAUGUGUGUAAUUAAUAUAUACCAUAUCCAUACUUAAACAUUUCGAAAAAUCUUAACCCGUAUUUUUUGUAUAAACACUUCAAAUCUAAAAAAAAAAUGUCUUAUAAAUCAAAUUGUUAAAUAAUUAAUCAGAAUUUACUAUUAGAGCAGAUUUUAUUGACUAACUAGCAAGUAUAGGAUGAAAACCGAUAUACGGCGAUUUAGUUCAUACUAUAGUCAUUAUUGUAUCCCGUCAGUAAUUUUUGAGUAGUCAUCCAGUGCUUAGAUGUUAUUAUCUCCUCUAUAAUAAAAAUAAUACAUUUAUUAUGAAUGUGCGUUUGUAUUUUAUACUGUACAGUUAAUAAAUAAAACAAUUUCAAUUUUACAAAUUACAAUUGUAUAAGGUAUUGAUAAGUCAAUACUUAUCGAUGCAUAUAUAAUAAAAUAUAUACUAAAAUAAUUGUUAUAUAAUAUUAUUACUUUAUAUGGUAGAUUUACUUUAGAUAAAAAGCCUACAGAAAUAAUGCAGUAACAACUAUAGCACAGUGAUUAAUUCAAAUUAUAACUUUUAAAACUAAAUUACAGAUCAAUCCGUUCACACAAAUGAUUUCUAAAUGGAUUCGGCUUAAUCAGAGCUUGGAACGAACGAAUUCAAUAGAAAUCACUCUUUUGAUUUCAUUUAUUUUUCAGGAAUUUAUCGAGAACAGAUCUGUGAAGGAACGUAUUGGAAUUUCGUAAUUUAUUGAAGGAACAUGAACAAUUUGCACACCUAAUUUUAAUAAUUGUAAUAACCCUAAACAUUUUUUUUUUAACAUUUAUUAAUAAUAUAUGAUUUUUUUAUGUGUGACCCAAGUGAAGGAUACCCGCAAAUUAGGCAUUACGGAAUCAAUAUUAUAUUAAAAUUGAAUAACAAAAAAAUACAAAAAUGUUUCUUUGUUAAAAACGAGAAAAGGAACUAGUCCCUUUCUUCAAUCGUGAAAUGGGCCUGGAAUGUGAACUAAGUCCUUUUUGAAAAGAACUUUUCAAGCACUGAAUUAUACUAGUUUUAAUACAAGGCGUUGUAUAAAAUGUUAUACAAAAUUAUUAAUAAGCAUUAUUUUAAAGUGUAAAAUUCACAAAUUAUAAAAAUAAAUAUGACACGACCUUAUAUUAAAAACUACUAAUUGGUCAUAAUUCAUGUAUAUAAUAUGUAUAGAUUAGGUUUAUAUUGGUUGUACAACUGUACAUGUAUAAAAUAAACAUUCUCUAUUAAAUAGUUUAAAAGUUACACAAUAAUAAAAUAGAAACAUAUAUUAUUGUUCGUUAUUUUAACUUAGUAAUAACUUUAAAAUAACCCCUUCCUCCCUAAAAAAAAAAAAAAAUCAAUUUAUCAAAUACCUAAUUAUACUUUUUACUUAAACCCCGAAAUCCACUAAAGUAAAUAUAAAACAAUCAGACAUAAUUCACACCAUGCAUUAUAAACCAUUAUUAAAGGAGGGAAGUUUGGAAGCAAUAAGACAUAAUUUGUUAGCAAAACUUUAAGGAAUCUAAAUUUUUUCUUCUAAUGAAAGUGAAGAAUCCGUCUCCUUUAAGAUACAUCAUAACAAAUCGGAACUUUUUUACUAACCAAUUAAAUAUUUUUGUGGGGUAAAGCCAGAUAUUAGUAAAACUAAUAAAGCUUAAUCACUAAUCAGAAUCUAAAAUAAAUAAUAUAAUAUUUUAACAUCAAUGGUUGUAAGUACUUAUACUUAAUAAUUGUAUAUCAAUUGAUUAUAUUAAUCACUAUAUUAUAAUCACCUAUAAUUUCAACAAAUUUUAGAACUUUUCUUUUGUCUACACAUACGUUAUUAUAAAUAGUAACAUAUACAGAAAUUUAGCAUAUUUUUUAAAACAUAUUUAAAAUAUUUUAUUUGUAUUCUAUAACUAUAGUAUCUUAUACGAACAUAUAGAUGUACAAGAUAAUAUAUGGUAUCAUACAACGUAUACAUUAUAGAAUACUGGUUAUAUUGUUUCGAAUAUGGACAACAUUCCGAACAGCUUGUACUAACUCCCUUCUUUUGUAACACACAUUUAUCUCAAACUGAAAAUAAAGUUUUGCCAAUAGAGAGGAAUAUAAAUUCCUAUUUUUAAAUUCUGAAUAUAACGACGAAGCUAUUAGUUUUACAAAGAUUUUGUUUCUCCCAAAACACUUUUUACAGUUAGUAAAAAUUCUAUGAUUGAUUUAUAUCAUACCUAAGAAAAGCAAAAUUUUCGCUUUAAGGAACUUUAUUUGAACAAUAUUUCGAAAUUUCCAAUUUUUUUUCCAAACAGUUUCUUUAAAUGUUUUCUGUUUUUGUUUAAAACUCUUUUAGUUAGGCAAAUAUUCCGACUUUUUUCACUCAGCAUCUCAAAAAAUACAGUUUUUUUGUUUGGGAAUAUUUUAUUUAUAACAUUUAUCUAAAUUUUAAUAAAUUUACCCUCUAUAAGUCUUUUUUUUAUUUCUAAUGAUUUAUCGUUGCAUACAGUAUAUAAAAUAAAUAAAUCUACCUUCCUAACUACUCACCUACAACAAAUAGCCUACCCGUGAUAAAUAUAAUUUUGUUAUCCAAUUGAAUUUUUAUGAAAUUCGCCCGUGCAAAAAUUCAUGAAAUAGGUACAAAGAUACAGCUAUAAUAUUAUACGUCGUGCAAGUACUUUCCGCGAAUAUUUCUGUAAUAAUUUCGGCCUCUUUCUGAUAUGGGUGCACUAUUUCUCAAUCGCCUAAUCGCUGUAAAUAACUCGAGCUUACCCUAAACUAACCGAACCUAAUCUAACCAAUAACCGCACAAAUCGUAUUUAUCUAUUUAUUAAAAAACCAAUUUUAAUAUCCAUUCUUAUAUUUUGAUGAAAAUUGUAUGAUAUUUUUGCUCACAAACAAAUGAAAAUUGGUAGGUAUAGUAUAACUUUACAUAGAUAAACUAACAAAUAUUAUAUUUACGAUAUUUAUAUGUUCUCAUGUACGAGUACCUAUACCUAUAAAUACUUGAGUAACUUAACCUAAUUUAGUAUAUAAAAAUAUAAAUAAGUGUACCUAAAUACUACACAUGAAGUAAUUUAUUUAACAAAAUUAUAUGAUAUAUAGUAAGUUAUAAUUAUUAUGGCUGGUGUUUAGUGUAGAUUGAAGUAAAAUAAAACGUAAUUUCGAACUAUAUUUUAACCAUUUUUUGGGUAGGAAAUAAUCAUAUUAAGUUUAUUAAGGUUAGCCUAACCUAGUUAAAUUAGGUUUAAAGUUUGGUCCUCUAAUCGUUUUGCUAACCUAUAACUAACUAGCAUUAAGUCAAUAUAGUAUACAAAUUAUUUUUUAAUUUGAAUUUGAAAGGAAUGCUAAUGCCUAUAAGUAUUCAGUGAACAUAUUAUAUUCUUAUUUCUUAUAUAAUUAAAACCAAAACCAAAAUCGACCAAAAACCACCGGUGCAUAUAACUUAUAUUUAAACGUAUAAUAUAAGUAAAAGUUGUAAAAACCUACCCUAAACCCUCAAAUCUAAACUAAAAAAAAAAAACAACGAUAUCAUCAACUAUUUUAAACAUCAAGAAAUAGGUUUAAGAUGAAAUAUAAAUUAGUUAUUUUUUUUUUCUUUCAGAACUCUUUUUACAAACAAUUGCACAAAAAGGGAAAAAUAUUUUACGUUUCAUUUUUCCGCCUAAAUUGGAAAAGAUACAUACACGAUAUACAUACACUUAGUUUUUCUUUUUCUAUAAAGUAAUUGUACAAAUUCCAAAAAAUUGCAAUCAAAUUUUCAUGCAGCAUAUCGUUUGGUUGAAAAAUUUCAAUUUAGAAAUAUGUACUUAUAGUAACAAAAUAAAAAUGAAUAUAUAUAUAUAUAGACCCUUACAUCAUAGAUCUACGUGACCAUGCAAUAAAAUAAAAUAUAAUAUAGUGAAAAUUGUAGAUUUUAUAAUAAAUUUAUGUAUCCAAUAGAUCUACUCGUUGUAACUGUUAUAUUCCUGAUUGUUUAAAUUUCCCAGAUAGACAUCUCGAUGAAUUUUGGUUUCCAUUAAUUAACGUUCGAUCGAGCAAAAAAAAAAAAAACGACAUUGGAUGACAAAAAAUAUAUCCGGUUCAGGAUUUAUUGGUCUGAAGUCGAAGACCUUUAAAAGUAUAAAGAAAGAAAGAAAUAGAGAUAAAAAAAAAAACUAUCGAAUCGUGUAUAAUUUAAUAGAUGUAUAGUACUCAAGGACGCCUAUGUAAUAAUUAUUAUUGUUAUAGAACGUUUGUUAGUUGCACAGCAUCCGCGUACCUACUAAGAGUCAGUGUUUGGAUGCCAAAUUAAAUAACCAAUUGUUCAAGCCGUAUAAUUUUUGGAUUAUACAAAACUAUAACUAUAUUCAUAUAGGUUCUGAGUGGUAAAAUGGAUAUAUUAUAAUCAAUGUCUUUUCAACAUAAGAUUAUAGAGUGGCGUUUAUAGUAUCAUGCAGAUACAUACCAACCCUAUAUCUGUGCUGGUAUUUUAUCUAUUAUUUUAACCUAGGUAUAUUAGAUAUACAUAUUUGGUAACAAAAUAUUUAUUUAGCGAAACUCUCUUUUUUAACUAUUUGUUACUACGAAAAAUAUAUUCUAUAAUUUAAAAUCUUAACACUCAAACAUUGGCGAAUAUUAUUUCAGAAAUAUACAUAUUAAGAAGACGCCACAUUCGCAUCUACUGUCUCAGUCUAACGGAUAACAUAACAAAAUUACAUUACAUAUUUUUGAAGACUGUGCAUAGUUAUUUUUUAAAACAUUUUUAUAAAAAUAAGUAAGAGCUAUUAAAAAAAAAACAAAAAACUAACAUGGCUAUAAGUUUUUUGUUACAAUCAUUUUUUAUAAAAUAACUACAAUCUUUGAAAAUAUUCUCUUCAUUAAAUUUGGUUAUUUGUGUUUGAACUCUAAUUUCAACCAAAACGCCACAAUUUACGUUCUCAGUAAUUUAAUUUUGCUUUAAUUACCGUUGGUUAAACUGAGAUAGUAGAUAACACCUAUAAAUAUUACAUAUUAUAUAUUUAUUGUUUUACUAGAAAUUACAUCUACUGCAGGAGUUCUUUUAUUUUAAAAUUUAAAACUUAAAUAUUACAUUUAAAAAACAAUUUAAAAUAAUUGCAUAGGUAGCAGAACAGUAAUUGGUUUCUUUUUAGUUUAUUUUAGAUAAUAUGUAUAGGUACCUACGUAAAAUUUAAACGUAUUUAUACAUGAACCUACUAUAAAAUAUACUAGACUUAAUUUAAUAUUAAUAACUAUACUAUUCGCGUAAAAUGUAAAUAAUCAAUAUGAUUAUAAACAUAUAUAUGUAUCUUACCAAGUAAUUUAUUCAUAUUUUCUCAUUAAUUUAUAUUUGCAAUAUUAUAUAGCAACAAAUUGUAUGACACGUCAAUAUAAUUAUAGUAAAUAAAAUGGUUAUUAUGUAAUAAAAUGUAUAAAAAAUGGCCCGAUAAUCUAUAAUUGUACAUAAAAAAAAUUAAACAAAUGAUGGCGAUAUUAUUUUGAUAAAGAAUUAGUAUAAACUUUACUUAUUAUGACGUAGUGAGUAUUUAAUUAUGGGUGAUGCUAACAUGUUUAAAAUAUUACUUGGUUAAGAAUCGAUUUUCUAAAACCCAUAAAACCAAAUAUACGAAAUUGAAGGGUUUCGUCGUUUUGUACAAUAACCAGGAAGCUCUGCUAUUUAAAGAACUUCAUGAUUUGAUUAUUUAUAAUAGAGAAAAUUAUUCUCAUAUUUUCUGUGCAACAACGAGACAAAUCUGACUAUUCAUAUUAAAGUGGUAACGGGAUAACAAGAUUCUAGAAUAUUUCUUGACAAAACCAGACAACUCCAUCGAAUUUUUAAUAAAACGUUUAUAAAAAAACGAUUUUAAAGAUAACUCCAAACGUAAUAGCUUUUUAAAACAAUUAAAUUAAAUUAAGUCAAACUGAAAUUUUUUUUUUUUAUUCUGGUAUAAUGUAACUAAAUUAAUUUUUAACUUAAUUUGACUAUGAACCAAACAUUUCCAAAACGUUAUUUUUUAUUUUCUGAAAAAGUUUGAAAAAUAGAUCAGUCUGGUUAUUAUUACACAAAGCCCUUCAAUUUAAGUGCAUACCUUUUAACAUAAACAUAAUUCGUUAAAAAAAUAUAUAAUUAUACUGUGAAAUUUAAAAAAAAUAUAUCAGAGGAUAAAAUAUUAUAAUUUAAAAAAUAAAUAAUAUUUUGUACCUAUGUAAAUAAUACAAACUUAUUCGUUUACCUAUUUAUACCUAUUUAAAAUAAAUCUAUGUGACAGUGGCGUGCCGUGAUAUUUCAUAUUAGUUAAGCGCUAAAAUAAAAAUUCAAACUAAAUCUUAAAAAAAAAAAAACCAUUUUAUUGAUAUAAAUUUCAAUUGUAUUAUAGACUGUAGUUUUACAGAUUGUUAGCACGUUGGUGACUGAUGGCAAAAUCAUAUUAAUAGGUAACCUACUUGUAUAGCUAAUGUACCCGUAUAAUAUAAAAGUGUACUUAUUGAUAAUGAUAAUAAUUCGAUAUGCAACGGAAAAAUAUUUGAAAUACGUUUUUAAAAAGGUAAAAUAAUAAAGAUGGGUGCAACUACUGGUGUAGGUGGGAAAUUGGGAAAGUAAGAUAUAGACGGGGAUUUAAUGUAUAUCUAUAAGCAACGAUAAACUAUUGCUUACAAAAAAAUGAUUUUCAUUGAAGUUCAGUUGAAAGUGAUAAUUUUUCAACAAUAUAUAUGUCAUUUUAAAGUAAAUUAAUCAAAUAGGCUUUAUAUAAAACUUUAAUAAAAUUUGUUUAAUGUUUUACCGAUUUUCCCUGUUUUCCUACGUGUUUCCUAUGUUUUAUCCUGAUUUUUCACAUUUUCUGAAAAAACUAUUAGGACAGUCAAAAAAUGACUACCUUAAUGUACCUCUCCACGCCGAUUUCCUUUCAGAAAAUUGCUACACGUAAAAAUCCGAAAAAAUCUUCUAAAAGAAAAGUAGCAUAGAGAUAAAAAAAAAAACAUCUUUGUAAAACUAUAAGCUUAUUCGCUCCACUAAGAAUCUAAAAUAUCGCCGUAUAAAAACGUGGUUAACUGCUUCCUAUAUAAAACGAUAUGGGCCAGAUAAUCUAAAAUACGAGCACUUCUGUAAAAAAAAUUACCUAUUCUAAAAACAAAAUGUAAUUUCAUUCGAAGAAAACUGAUAAAUUAUUUUAAAUUGAAUACUCAUAAAAGAAUUUUUGACGAGGCAUGCACCGCUUAUCUAACAUGUCCUGACGGCACGCCACUGCUAUACAAAUACCUACUCACCAUGUAAUUGUCGUAAAAAACCUAAACGCUUGAAAAAAAUUGGGGUACUUCCUUUAGUUCAAUUUUAAAAACCUAUGCGAAGUUAACUUGUUUAUGAAAUCAAACAUAUUUUCAUUAUUAAAAUAGACCAACUGUAGAUACCAACAUUUUUGUUAGGCGUAGAGCUAUUUUACGUUAAUAAAUAACGAAAAUCGACCAUACCCAUUCCUCUAAAAUUGGUAUCGAGCAUUAGAUUAAUCGAAAAGUCUUAUGAUUAUAGUGGUCAUUAAAAAGUAAAACAUAAUUUACAAAUUUUACAAAAUGAGAGGAAAUUUAGAAAACCAACUGCAAUUCCCUAAGCUUAAAAAUAUUACUGUCUAAAAUCAAAAUUGUAUGGUAUUUAUUUACAAAUUUAAAGUGUUUAUUAUACGCAAUUUGUUUUAUCUGUAUACUCUUAUAGUUAAUCAUAUUUUAAUUUUAACCACAAACCAUAUAUUAUAAUCACUCUGUAGAGUUCUAUACAGUGUAUUAUAACACAAGUUUACAAUAAUUUUCAUACUGUAUAGCGAAACACGAGAUCAACUGUUGAAAACCACUGAUCGGUGUACAGCCACGUAUAUUUUUCCUUUUCGUUUGCCAUUCGUAUUGUCUUGAAUUCGAGAUUUUUUCCACGAGACAAAGGAACAGGUUCUACAUGGAGAAUUCACGAAAAAAAAAAUAUUCGCGACUGCUUUCUUCUUAUAUGUGAAUUAUAUAUGUUGUUUCUCUCUCGCCCACUCUCAUUCUAUUUUUUUUUUUUUUUUUUUAUACAUAUACAGCAAACAUUUAACGAUCCAUAAAAUAUGAAUAGCCCAAAUAAAUUUAAACAACUCUAAGCAGCAUUAUAGAACAUUUUGCAAACUGACAAUUUCUCUCCAUACCGAACAACAAAAUAUUAUAGGAUAAAAUGUUCUUUUUGCAUAAUACGUAUAUUAUAAUAUAUUAACCAUUAUUAUUUGAACAUUUUAUUUAAUUUCUGAAAAUAUAACUCACAUAAACCAAGAGAUUUAUAUGUAAAAAAAUUUAAUAAAUAUGUGAUUGCUUUUAACGAUAUAUUUUAAAUACAUACGUUUUCAUAAACAUUAUUUAAGUGUAUAGGUUUGGUAUAUCACAACAAUAAUUUAAUUUGUAAAUGUUAAUACCGAAAUGCAUUUAAAAAUAUGACGAUAAAUAAAAUGAAUCUAACACGAGAAUUAAAAUUCAAUAAGCUAAAUUAUUAUUAUUCACUUAAGCAGGUACCUACUUAUAUUUUUAAAUUAUACAAUUUAACUGCUUUUUUUCAUUUGUAUUUGUUAUCAAUGCAACACAAAUAAUAGCUUAAAGAGAUAGAUAAUCAUGUAAACUCUAUGCAUAUUAUAUUUUUUUCAUUAUGUAAUUUAUGAUGAUUUAAUACAAAAAAAAUACACAAAGUCAUGAAUCUAAUAAUAUAAUAAUAAUAAGGAAGUGUUUUUCAGAGCCUAACAAAUGGUGCUAAAAAAAUCGAAGGAGGAGCGUUUAAUUAAAAUCUUCCAAAUUCAAAUACCAAAUUUGGUAACUUCUAAAAAUAUUUUGACCUAUUAAUCUAUCCUUCGAUAAAUGAUACACUGUACGAUAAUAAUAUAAAAAUUAUCACGCAACAUACCAAAAAUAAAUAAAUAAUUUAUUUUGUUGACUUUGAAAUUAAAUUACCAUUGAAUUACCAACUCAAUAGUUUGAAUUUCUAAGUGUAGGAGGGCAUGAUACCCAUCAUGCGCCCCUAUUCCCAGCACUGGCGUUUGUCUAUGUGCGUGUGUGUGUCCUAAUAUAAAAGUUAAAUUUUAAAAAAAAAAUUUGGACUUAAGUGGACAGAUAACAGCAUUGAAAGUAUCAAAGAAAAUUGAAAUUUAUGCAUGGGUACUCAAUCCUAAACUUAAUUUUUUUUACUUGAAAUAAAAACAAUUUUGUAUUUGUCAUUUUUUUUAAAUAAAAUAAUCGAAAAUAAAGUAUUCAGGGCUAUAAAAACAUUACAUAUCAAUAAAUAAUAAGUAAUAACAUAGGUAUAAGAUAUAACUAUCAGUAACUCUGGCAUUUAUUAUUAUUAUUCAAAUUAUUUAUAAAAACAAAACAAACAAAUGCAAUUUCAAAGCUGCUAAAGCAUAAACAGCUAGUUUAUGUUAAAUUAUCUAAUAAAAUCACUAACCAAAUUAUAGUUAGUUUUAAAAUGUAAAUUAGUUUGAGUAACUAAGUCAAGUUACACAUUUAUAAGAAAUAACAAAUAACAAAAACAGAGCUGAUACUAAGGAUGGGAGCGGCCGCUGUUGUAGAUGAGAAGUUUGGAAGGUAAGAUAUAAAAGGUUAUUUCAUUUAUAUCUGUAAGCAACGAUAAACCAUUGCUUGACGAAAGAUGAUUCCGAGCGCAGUUUGGUAAUACAAAAUUUGAAGUGGCGUAUUUUUUUUUGGGAUUUUCGUUUAAAUUUGAUUUCAAAACUCUUAUAUAUAUAAAAAAAAAAAAAAUGUGUCAGAUGAUUUAGGAAAUUUUCCCACGUCUAGGUAAGUUCAAUAUAAGUAUUAUUACAAAGUUUCAAAUCUCUACGUGUGUUUAUAACCGAAUUACAGAAAAAAACUCCCAAAAAUUAAAAUUCCUUAAAAGCUCAAAAUUUUUGGCGAUGAUACUUUAAGAAAGUAAAUAAAAAAGGCAACAAAAAAGGUAUCUUGUGAUUUUUCGAUCAAAUCAUUUUUUCUGGUAAAAAACGUCAUCCGUGUUUUUAAAAAAUAAUUAUUUCCUACGUUUUUUCCCACUUAAGUGUUUUUAUUUAAAAAAUGGCGUCGAAAAUCAAAACAUAACCACCCUUGAGUACAAUCUAGAUAACUUGAAAUUUCAGAAAAAUUGUUACACGUAAAAAUUGGAGCAAGUUUACUAGGAAAAAACGUGUUCACAGACUAGAAAAAUAAAAAUAAACAUCUUAGGAAAACCAUCAGCUCCCUUGCUACGGUCGGAAUGUAAAAUUAUUUAUUGAAAGAACUAUACCAUAAAUUUACGAAAUGUAUCAACUAAGUUAUUUUCUAACGUUUUAUCUAACUUCUCUUAAGUAAGUUAAAAACAAUCAAUAAAGUAAUUUAUAACUUGACUUUUGAUUUUUUAACUACCGAGUUUACUGCCUAACUUUGUGUAAUUUUAUUGAAAUUAUUUAAGUUCAGCAAAAUAGAAUACCUAGCAAAAUAGAAACAUUUAUCCCAACACAAAUAAAUUAAAAUUCAUAAAUAUCUACUCAAAUUAAUUUCAACAUAUUUUAAUUUCUUUUGAAAUAGGUAAUACAUCGUAUUUUCUUUGAUACAAAAUAAUUUAUCAUAUUAACUAUUAAGCUAAAAACACAUAUUGAGCGUAUUCUUCAAAAAAAAGCAAACCAUAUGCAAAUAUCAAACCUCGAAAAACACACACAAAUUUAAAUUAUAAUUUGUAUAUUUUCCCAACAAUAUAAUAGAAUAGACUACCAAUAUUAUGUCGGAAAUCUAUAUGCAUUUAAUUGCUUCUCAGUUUUUCUCGACACGGCGAUUUUUUUGGAACUUUUAAGUGUCUAUUCUAAUUUAUACAAAUUAUUUGUAUUUUAAAUUGCUUCAAUUAAAUUUAACAUCAAAUAUUACACUUUAGUUGAUUAUAAGUCAUUAAAUUUUAUUUAAUCAAACUCAUUUAUUCCUCAAUAAUUUGCCCAACUAUAAUAUAGAGAGAAAACUUACUUAAAUAAAGAAAACCAACUAAUGCAACCACUUUAAAAUAUACAGUAAAUCCCCUUAGAAGUAGAACACUAUAUAAAAUGUAAACAUAUUUAAAUGUUUGUUUGUACGAGCUAUAAUUAUUUAUGAAGAGUAUUUUUUUGUAUUUAUUUCACACUAUAUAAUACAAUCUAUAUUUGUUUUCAAAAUUAGAUUGAAUACAGAAAACGGUUCUUACAACCGUUAGAAAAUCCUUAUAUUAUAGUGCUUGCACACAAUCUCUACUCUUAAGUGGCAGAUUCGUUUUAAUCUACCUUCACGCAGUAUUAAAAUCUAUUAUAAGCUUUCAUUAGCUCGCUUUUUUCAUAUUUCCCUUAAUUUAACUUGAACUUAUCAACAAAAUAAAAUAGAAACUAAAUACAGUGUAAUUGUAAUUUUCAUACAUACACAAUAAUAUACAGCCGGUAUCUAUGUAUGUAACAGAAAUAUAAUAAUAGUAAUAUUUUUGUUUUGUGUAAUUUACUUUUUCCGUAAAUACCUGUACGAUAUUAAUGAUUUUAUAUAUUAUAAUUUAUGAUACUAUACCACUAUUGGGAUAGUUUUAAAAUCUGAUUUCAAGUAUUUUUAAGAAUAAUUUCGAAAAUCCCUUUUUUGAAUUGAUACCUAAGUAUAAUUGUAUAUUAUUAUAUUAUGAUCGUCUACUUUAAAUUGAUAUCUAUCAGGUUGUGACACCUAAUAAAUUAGCUUGUUUAAUUAUUUAUUACAAUUUAAAAUGAAUACAACUAAACAGUUUUUUAUACAUACAAAUUAAAGAUUAUUUAAGCAAGUUCAACAAAAUUAAAUAAAAUUGUCUUAAUUUUGGUAUAAAUACAACCAGGUCCAGUCUAUAACUAGAAGGGAAAGCAGAGAUUUUUCCUUACGCGUAAAAUAUUCAGGGGCGUAUUCACAUAUUUGUAUUGUUUGUUUACUGAUAAAUUCUACUUUAAUUACAUUUUUCAGUAUCUUAGAAGGGACUAGAAGAGAAAUAGUAAAUAAUUGGUACACUAUGAAAGUAAUAAUCAAUGUAGAACUAAUAUAAAACGAUGUGGGUAGAAAACAACGCCUGGAGCUUUUAGUAUUUUUAUCUCAGGAUGUAAAAAUGUUUAGGUCCGGAACUGUCUGCUGCAUGACAAAAAAACGACUUUAAUUAUAUAAUAUUUACAAUCUGGUACCUACCGUUAUAUUUUUAUCGUUUACAACUUCAUUUUUAAAAUUAAUAAUUAUUGAAUAUGAAUAUAAAUAUUAUAUUUUUUUACUUAUAUCAUUCAAUUUAUGAGCAUAGUAUUGAAAAUCUCGAGAAAAAUGGAUUAUACAAGUACUUAUGAAAUUCUAGAACGUUGAACGUACAAAUCUGAAAUCCAGAGUUUUACGAAUAUCGAAACCUGAAAUACAAAUCUGUAAUGUACAAAUGAAAUUUAAAGUUCAUAUUUCGAUGUCUAUAAAACCCUGGAUUUCAGAUUUGUACACUCAAAGCUUUUUCGUGUUUCCUAUGUAAGUUCUAAAAGAAAAUCGUGCAUGUAGUUUUCAUUCCAAAUAUAAUUAAUGAGGUUAAACAUUAAGCUAGAGUUAUAAAAAUAUAUACAAAUCAGUGGCGAGGGAUAACCAUGGCAUUUUUGAAUCGUAGCUCCAUAGAAACAACUAUAAUAUACUGACGCUCAUUCUCGAUAUAUAUUGAAAUCUUGUAGUGUUUGUGGUCAAAAUUAGGUACUCCAUCAAAGUAAUAAUGGAUUACCCAACGAUAUUUAUAGACAGCUCAAAACAUAAUAAUGGCCAUCUAUAAGCUAUAAGGCAUACCUAUCUCUAAAGAUCAAUUUAAUAUUUUGUAUUACACAUAAUACGUCUAAUGUUAUAAAAAGAUAAACGUAUUAUAAAAUAUGUUCAUCAUACAUGCAUACGUUUCUAAAUGUAUGAAAACCAUAUCGAAAUUAUAUUACUCAAAAUUAUCUACUUGUAUACUUAUUAUAAACAAAUAUUUUUGAAAAAAAUCGGAUGGUCGAUGGGACGUACGUCGUAUCAUGGGAAGGCACUAAUCCAGAUUCCUGAAUUAAUUACCUAUAUAAAAUUAAUAUUUAUUAAUUAGAUUAAGAAUAAUAAUUAAAGUUAACUAAAAAUAAUUUUUGUAUCCAACUCGUGAUUAUGUUAUUGAUAAUUUACGAAAAGAAUCACGGUACCAACCCGGGCAUAUUUAAAUGGUUUUCUGUAGAUGUUCAAAUGGACACACGAUAAAGUCCAUCGGACACCCAGUAGGAUAAUAUUUUUGUUACGUGUAUCCACUAAAAAAUAAAUGGUAAAUUAAUUAAUUUGAGUAAUUUAUUUAUCUGUUUUAGUAAAAUAAUGAAAUAACAGAAAUAGGUACUUAAUCGAUUUUACAACAAAAUACUAUAAUUUAUGUAUGAAAUAUCGUCACUGAGGAGAGAAAUUACUGCAUGAAGAAAGUCUAAUAAGAAAGCAUGGGUAACGUUUGGUUUAUCUAUUUUUUAAGGGAAGGGAGUGGGCACACCAUGGUUAUUCACUAAAAACUGUCUUGAUACUUGUAGUUGGGAAGCAAUCAGUUUGUGCCAAUGGGAAGAUAUCAUAAUGUAGGAUAAUUUAAUUUAAAAUGUUUAAAUCACGAAUUUAACUAUAAAUUAUUGCAAACAAAAAACAAUUAUAAAUGGACCUCGGUUAAAUUAUUUAUUCUAAAUUUACAUUGACAAAUUUAUACAAUUUGAACUACAAAAUAAUUUUCAAUGUAUCAUGUUUUGAACGGAUUUAUCAAAAAUUUAAACUUCAAACAUCAAAUAUAAACCAAAAAACUCAAUAAUUUCAAAAAUCUAUAAAUAACUAAAAGGAAAAAAAUUCAAAUAUUUUAAAAACAACUUCACGUUUGGAAAAAAAUAAUCGGUAAUAUUUGGUAAAAAUAUCAAGUCUCCGCUAUAUUAUUUCUCGCUAAAUUAUAUAUAAAAAAAAAAAAAAAAUGAUUUUGUCAAAAACCGGUGUCGCAUAUAAAAUAUUUUCGACUUUUCAUACCUGAUUUUUUGUCAAUAGCUGGUAUAUACUAUAGAAGAAAAGUAUAUACAAGGAAUUUAAAAAAUGACGACCACCUCAAUACUAUAAUAGGUAAAGUAAACUAUUGUCUAUCGAAAAAAUACUACUACAUAGAAAUUAUAAUGUGCUCCCCAGAUGUCGACGAUACGAUCGGAGCAACUAUCUUCUGCGGGUCGAAGUCGUGUUUGACUGCAGACGGUUAAAAAAAACACACUGAUCACAGUGAAACCAUUAGGUAUACCUAUAUUACAUCUAUGCAUUCCUCUCUUCGUUCACAAUCUAAAAAUAUAUUGAAUUUUUUUUUCAGAUAUACCGGUAAACUGCAGUAAUCACCCAAGACUAUCGGUUCUAUACGUACCGUAUUAAAACACUAUAUUUAGGUACGUACCUACGUCAUAUAUGUACACGUUCGGAAUUUAUAAUAUUUAUUGGCUGUAGACCGAUAUUUACGUAUACCUAUCUAUACCUAUAAUAUACCUACCUAUCUAUACCUUAGCUCACGCUAAAUUGAAUAGGUAUAGCUAUAUAAAAAAAAAAACAGACGUAUAUGCACACGGCUUUCGUAUAGAUUAGGAGAUGGGCUAACAAAAGGUAUGUUGUGUUUGUGUGUGUGUGUGUGCAUGUGUAGGUAUACGCGUGCGUAAGUAUCGCGCUCGUGCGCGCGUGUGUGUGUGUGUGUGUGUGUGCGAGACUUAUGUGAGAGCGUAGCGUACAUGCGAUACUGUAGUGACUGGUGGGACGAAAACCAGUACCUGUUCGUUAAAUAUGAACCGGUUGCGUGUGUGCACAGAUCGCUGGACCUUACACCUACAGGUUGCCCAUUAGUCAACAACAGUUUGGUGCCACAGUCGUCUUCUUCUUUUAGCCCUACCAUACUUUUCAUUUCCACACUCAGAAAUUGUCACUGUUCCAUAGUACCUAUAAUUACUUUAACCUAUGGUUUUGUUCUUACAGUAGUAGGUCAGUUUUUACGUUCAUACGAUUCGUAAAAAAAAAAAAUUAAAACGAUGAAUGUUCGUGCUUAAAAUGUAUAACAAUAAAUAAAACUAAUGAAUAUCGCCGUCAUUCAGCUGCAUCACAUCUCCGCCGACAUACGCAACUCGACAAUUGUAAUAUGCAUCGGUUGCAGGUAAUAUUAUAUUAUAUUUUCUAAAAAUAUGUUAUAAUAAUUAUGUAUAAUAUACUAUGUACCCAUGGGUAAAAUAAAUUUGUUUUUUUCAAAACACUAUCGUGGCGAUCGUUAUUUCAAAUCGGCUCAGAUAUACUGUCGAAAUGUAACGAUUUUCUAUUUUUCGCAAUACAUAUUUUCGUAAUAUAAGGAUAUUAACAUAUUAUUAUCAUCGUAGCCAAUUCAUAGGUAUUGUGUGUUUAAUUUUCAACCGAAAUAAUUUAUUCCACUUUGAGGUUAUUACAUAUUAUACAAUUUUUUCUUACUUAUAAUAGUCCUAUGGGUAGGUAAUAAUUUAGUCCUUUAGGUACUUAAAAGUCACUAUAAGAACCUAUAGACCAUAUUUUUAUCUAUAUCUAUAGUUAUUUUUAUAUUUCAACAAGUUUUGUAGAAUAUAAAACUAUGUAACUAUUUAUAACUGUAUUUUUCGAACAGACAUUUGUAUCGUAUUAUUAUUAGUAUGUACUUAUAUAUUAUGCUGUGUUUUACUGUUAUAUAAUGUUAAUCGUUUUAUGUAACGUGAAACGCAUUAAUGUCAAUAAAAUUCACUUUCUAAAAUUGCUGUUCACAAAACUCUUCGAACGCAAAUAAUGAAUAUUAUAUCAGUCGAAAAUCGUACGCAUAUUUCCUAAAGUAUAUCUAUAGGUAGGUAUACUAAAAAUAAGACUAUAGUGUUAUCACUGUGAAAUAAUCGUCAUAAUAUAUUUCAAUUAUUUAGCAAAGUGUAUAUAAUAUAUAUUUGUACGAACAGUAAUUUUAAUAAAAAUAAACUAUUUAUGGAAAUAUUAUAUAUGUAUUUUCUUAGGUUUAUCAUUAAAAUCUAGUAAAUUUCAGGAGUUGUUUUUAUAAUUUAAUCUUUUAAGUGCAUUAAAUUUGUUUAAAUUAUAAUUAAAUUAGGUAAAUACCAUAACUAUAUUCAUAUUGUUAGUCCGAAUUUUCUUAACUAAAUAGAAUUAUCAUUUUAUUUUUUAUUUUUUAAUAAUGUUGUAUUACAAUUAGCGUUAAUAUUAUAACGUUAUUUUAUAUAAUUAAUAACUAAUAACUAAUAUGUAUAAUAUUUUCCAUUGGUAUUUAGAAUUUGUCAGUUGGUUUCAAUUAUAUUAUACUACCUAUAAUAUUUAUGAAUAACACUGUUAGCUGUUUAGUAUAUAGAUUCUCAACAAUUUACGUUUCAAGGAGAACAAACUAAAAUAUGAGGUACUUGUUGAAUUUUUAAUUUAUCGAGGUUGAUUAAAUGUUAUUGAACUGACUGGGGGAAUUCCUUUCUUUUGGAAUGGCACAUGUCGUUAAUCUCUAUAGUACCGGCUAUUAUCAAAACUCGGACAAAAUAUUACAAUCAUUCAAUAAAUUACUUAGGUAGUAAGUACCUACCUAAAAUACGACAUUACAAAAAUAACACUAUAGAAUAACUAUAAAAACAAUGGAAGCUAAAUAAAUAAAUAAAAUAAAUUAUGUUUUUUCACUUUGUACGAAUAGAAGAAAAUCUAUUAAAAUUGAUAAUUUAUAAUUUUUAAAUUCCGUUUAAUAUUUUAAAAAAGACCGCAUUUAUUUUCAUAAUAUAUUAUUUAUAAACAUUUAAAUUAAAUAGUUCUGCCAUACCUAUAAAUUGUUUAUAUCAAACUAAUAAUAUCCACAAUGAUAAUAAUGUAUAUGGAUAAGGAACAUUUUCCAAAAUAUGAUACUUAUUAUAAUAUUAUUGUCCAUGUAGACCCGCCUUAAAUAAAAUAUACAAUAAUCGCAUAGGCAGUGGCGUGCCACAGAAAAUUUCCAAUUGAAGGGGAUGUAGCAAAUAUUAAUAUUAAUCAUAUCGUAGAAUCUUCUUCUAUUAACAACUCAAUAAUGGGAGUUAAAAAGCUGGAAAAACCAAGUUUUAAUCAAUAGAUCAGACUUUUCCUUCUAGCUUGACUGAAACCUAUAGAUUUCAGUAUUGAAUUACUAAAUAUAUACACAUUGUUGUGUUGAAAAUCCAAUGGUGGGAGAGAAGAUAAGCCCCCUGACCUCCCUACCCGUGGUCACGUCACUGUGCACUGUCAAACUAUGUAUUUUUGCUCAACAACGGACGGCCCAGCGAUCCUACGGAUUAAAAUUUAAUAUUAUAACGAAUAUAAACGUAUGGAACUACUGCUGCAGUGAAUGCCUACCUGCAUCAUGAUGCACCUGCGUUACCCUACCUAAACAUUAUUAUUAUAUAACAGCCUAUAUAAUAUUUUUUGUAGUGUUAGUAUUAGUAAUAUUAUUUUCAAUAUCAUCGCAUUUAUGAAUCUCGUUAACCGGUCGGGUUUCGGCGGGGCGGGGCGAGGAGGGAUUUUAGGACAUUUCUAAACCGACGACAACGACGACGACCUGCACAGCACACUCGCCGCCAUGGGCAACGUAGGUACAUUAUAUAUUGUCCAUGAUUCCUUUGUUUAUUUUGUCGUUAAAGAAACAUUUGGAAAGCCGUAAUAAUAAUAGCAGUGAGUGUAUUAUUAUAACGUGUAUGCCUAUACUGUGAACACGCGCGCCGAUCCGUAAUAUAUGCGCAAACCGCCCGAGCGACGUUUCAGUAUGGUCAGAAAAAUGCUUUUCGUCCGAUACCGAAUGGAGUAUUCAAACGGAUGACGGUCCAUUAGAAGGCGGCGGGACGUCAAAAGCAUCGAGCAAAACUACUCGGGCAAAACUGAUACAUCACUGAACAAUAAUAUAUAACAGUAAACAUUUUUUUUUUUUUUUUAUUAUUAUUAUUAUUAUUAUGUAUCGAUGUUUCUACCGUUAGAAUAAAAUAUUAUACUUUUGUGGCCGUUAUCAGCCGUAUAGGUAGGUAAUGUUACCUAGAUACACUAUAUUUAGUUAAAAAUGUCAAAUUUACAACCGUUAUUAACAGAAAACGUGUAGACAAUAUCUAUACAUUAUGCGGUGACGAAUUUGUAAGGGGAGGGGGGUUACGACGAGGCGUCCUUAGACUUUUUUAAAGAAAAUCGUUUGGCAUUUGAAUUAAAAUGUAUACAAGUACCUGUGAGACAAGGUGUCCAUAAAAAUUAUGAACGCAUUCAUAUACACUUUUUUGAUACUCGCCUCUCUCCCGAAAUAUGUUUUUCAGUUACUGUGUCUAGUAAGUGUUAUUUGACUCCCCUCCCCCUUAAAUAAGUUGUUCAGAUCUACCACUACAGGUUACACGCGUAAUUUUCUUCAGACAUUUGCAGGUAUAUCCGUCAGGUUUUGUAAUAAUGAUUUAUGUUAAUAUACUGUGUUAUACACUACCAACGGCUGCGUCUACUCGAAACAAUACGGAUUGUGACCUCCAGACGCCCAGACACCCUGUGCCAUAACGUCGAACGUGCCGUGCAGAAUCGUUUCGACGCGUACCUACACCACUAACCGGGUAGCUGGUUUUUCUCUUUGGUUAUCUAGCUGUAUGAGUGUCACAUAUACAAAUCUCCUCAUAGGUCUAGGUGACCGAAGUUAAAAAUCGCACCCAUUACUACAACGGUAACGUCACGUACACAUGCAGCAACAGAUACCUGACGACGGCACACGCGUAACCGCCCACCUGCUGCAACUACGGUAUUAUUAUGCAGUUGUAAGCCACGCCGGAAAACUCUCCGCAAAAACGAUUAUAUAUUUAUUAUUUAACAGUAUUAUAUAGUAUAGUAGAUCGAUUAUGUGAGAAAUCACAAACAGCCGUUAUUAAUCGGUGAACUAACCAGGUAGGUGUCUUAGUUAGUUUACUGGGUAUACAAUAUAUACUAAUAACUAACAACUGUUAAGACUCUCGGUUUUAUCAUAAAUCGGUGGUAUUGUGAACACCGUCGUUUCAACUAGUCUACCUUUUAUUGUUUCGUGAUUAAUUAUUGUCAAUCGACAAUUUUAGGAAUCUUCUAUUCGUUUAUACACCGUGCAUAAUUUAAAUUUAUUGACAUAAGCGUGCACAUGGGGUAUGCAGUGUAUGCCACGGCUACCACCUACUCUGUAGCUUUAUGCAUAAGAGCCCAAAAUUGUUGUUCAAUGUAUUUACAUACUUAAACUUAGGUCAUAUUUACAGUUGCUAUUAAUUUAAUUUAAACUACAGUACGUCAUACAUAUUAUGAUCUUUUGUGAUUAAACUUUAUGUGAUUUUUCAAUUAUAUUUUUGUGAGGAGUCCCAAAUAUAUUUGGGACCCCAAAUAUAUAAUAUUAUAAUAUAAAAAUUAUAGUAUUUUUAUUUUGUAACUUAUAGUUACAUAUAUUAUUAGUUAUAUAAUAAAUAUAUUACAAUUAAGCAGAAACGAACGCAUGAAAAUAUUUUAGGGAAGUAUAAAAGAAUAUUUAUUAUAAUAAAUUAGCCUUUGUAUUCUGUAAACCAAUUAUUUAUAAUUUAAAAUUUCAAUACAAAUUAAAGGGUAAUUUAAAUUUUUGAUUGUGUUUUAAUUCCCGAUUUUAAUUCCCUGAUUUCGCCUCUGACUAAUUAAAUUGCAUACAGCAUCGUGUAUUUAUAAGGUAAUAAUGUAAUAUACAUUUUUUAAUUAAAAUUUUUCUUAUACAUUAACUUUCAAAUUUAGUUACUACAAUAUCAUGUGCGCAAACCACCAAAAUAUUUGAGGGAGGGCUCAAGUAACCAUAAUAUUUAUUAAUACUUAUACAGUGCGUUUCACCUUAAUGGUAACAUGAAAUAUUUCUGUUCAGUGACCUCGGAUUGAAAUGGAGUUUUCAAGAAAAGAUAGAAAAUACUGAAAUACACAUUAAACAUACGCCAGUGGUUGUGCACAUGUUUCAAUAAUGUUUUGUUUUAAAUGGUGGAGACUUAUUGGUGGGUCAGCAUAGACUACAGUUUAUAAAUGUCCCCAAAGAAAAAAAUCUAGAGACGUUAAAUCAGAUGAACUCUCCGGCCAAGUUAUUGGUCCAUAUGUCCCCAUCCAACAAAUGUAUGGUGUGGAUUAAUUGAAGGUUUUAUAAUAGGUCUCUAUUUUUAUGAUAGAACAUUAAAUGUAAGGAAAUUUUGGAUUUUAUUUCUAACCAUUUACCACUAUUGUUAGAAAGUGUUCCAUUAGAUAUUAAGGAAAACGUAAUUUUUCUACAAAAUGGUACUCCCUUGCUGUAGUUAAUGCUGACCCACCGAUUAGACUACAGCGUUUAAAACAAAAAAUCACGGAAGCAUGCGCACAACUGACAAAGAAACAAAUUUGACAGCUACUCAAAAUGAAGUCAUACGACGUUCAGAAUUAUGUUUACAACAUAAUGGACAAAACUUCGAACAAUUUAUAAGAUAAUGAUGACUGAUGAGUAUUUUUUGUAUUUCGUAAAUUGUUUAAAAUUAAAUUAAUUUAAUAAUAAUAAAAUAAUUUUGUUUCAACGUUAACGAGCUAUAUUUCGGCCAAUUUUCGAGAUAAGGGAAAAGUUUUUAUACAUAUAAGUUGCUUAAAAAUUAAUGGUUUAUCCAAAUCAAGUGUUGGAAAUAGGUAUUUCCAUUUAAAAAAAUUUAAGUUUUAUUGCACAUGCAUACACUGAAAGGUUUAAAAAUUUAAAAAUCCUUCAAAAAAUGUGUAGAUAUUUUAGUAUUUCCUAUCUUCUUUUGAAAACCAAAUUUCAAUCUAAGGUCACUGGACAAAAAUAUUUCAUGUUACCACUUGAGUGAAAUGCACUGUAUAUGAAUCACCAGAAAGGGGACAUGUCCCUAAAACCAAAUUUUACAAAAAACUGUCAAGACAAGGCUGAGAAGGAGCUAUCGGUUAAGCAUAAAAACUUACUAGAAAUAUAUACUUAAGAGUUUACUUGAUAAGCAUUUAAUCUAGGGAGGGGGCUAUACGCCGAGUUUGAAGAAGGAUAAGCACCUAAUCGCUUUCCAUUUUGUGAGCCUAUGCGAAUGGUAUCAACAAAGCAACCUGAGUAAAUAUCUAUUAAUGACGUCUGAUUAAUCAAUUAAAAUUUAAAAAAUGACUUGAAAAUAAUUCGGUUCACCUUUGGGCUUAUUAACAAAGAAAAAAGGAGCUUUUUUUGAACUGGGGGAGAUUUUAUCCUAGUUUCAUUCCUAUUGGUCACCGCGGGAUUUCCCCGUACAAGUUGAAGUACUGCUGCAGUCGAGUAUGAUGCGAUGCGGACGACGACGACGGCGGCGGCAGCGUUCGAUAGAUCAAGAGAUUAAUGGGAUUAAUGGUGCUCCUCCUCCUCCUCCUCCUCCUCCUCCUCCUGCUCCUACUACUACUACUACUACUCUAACUAUCACGGCACCUCCGCCGCUGAUGACGCCAAGGCUGCGAGGUUGCCAGACACACAAGGAUACAUUAUUAUCAUUGUAUACCCCUCGCGCCGCGGUCUCCUCUGCGAGCCGUCCAAAACCCGGGUUGGCCACGCGUGUGUGCGCGUGUUGUACGUGUGUCAUGCACCUCUUUUUUUUUAGAACCGGAUUCUGUGUCAUCUUGUUCUUCUGGACAGUUAUGGCUGCCGCCGCCGUCACAGACAUGGUUAACCUUGGGCCGGAUGUGCAUAACGAAAAUCACUGCAGCGGCGAACGAAUACGGAACAUAAUAAUAUUAUAUUAUGUAAAUAUUAUAAUACCUAUUAUCUAUGUUUAAACCGCGAAACCGUUGUGCCGGCGGCGGCGGUACUUAAUAACUAUACUGCGGGAAAUAUUUUAAUUGAAACGCAUGCAGGUCCCGUAACUCUACUGUUGUAACCUGUAAGCGAAGCGUUUACAAAUGCAUUCAAGCAGCAAAGCCGUAACUAGUGUAUAUAGACAUCAUCGUGUUUCGAAAAAAAAAAAAAAAUAAAUAACAAUCUCAUUUGCAGUUUUUAAAUAUUUACGAGAUUUUAAACGGUUCGGUAAUUUUUAAUUCAAUAUUGUAUGAUCGUGUAUCAGUAUUACGUCCGUUAUGAUAACAAACGUGCUCAUUAAAUUUAACUAUACAACGCAGUUGGCGAGUUUUUCAAAUUUUAAACAAUUGGAGAAAAUUUUGAAAAAAAAAUUUUUUACAUUUUAUUAACCACCUAAUUAAAGACUUUUCCACUUACCUACUGCUCGAUGUCUGCUUAAUAUUAACAUCCAUACGACCAUACAGUAUUACGAUAAUUUUUACGUAUGGAGAUGACGUUUUGUAUCGAAAAGUCAGACAAAACUGUAAACAUCAUCCGACUAAUUUAAAUUUUGAAAAGUAUUACGAUUCUUUAGGUUCUUCACUAGGAUACGUUGUAGUUACUUUUUGACAUUUCAAUUAUCUUUAUCAAAAGUAAAAGGCUAAACACUAAUUAGGAUUUUGCACAAUUUUUUAAAAAUAUAAGUGUACAAUCAAAUUUUUUUUUACUAUUUCCAAUAAAAUAAUUACAUUUCUAUUUUCGUCAUAUCCUAGUAAAUAAUAGCUAAAAAAAUCAAAAACCGUUUUUAAAAUUUAAAUCCGUCAAAUCCAAGGACAGGCAAAAAAGUUUGAUGUAUUUGAGAAUUCGAGUAUUUGAGAAUUUUCGUUUUAUUUUAAUUUUAUUCAUUUAAAUACCGAUAUCACAAACAAUUAUCUUAAAAUCGUAAACAUUGAAACACUUAUACGAAUUAAGUGAGUGGAUAACGUGUAAUAUUAUUAAGUGGUAAACCAGUUGUAUCAGUAACUGCAACAUUAAUAAACUUUACUUUCAAUAGUAAAUGUACGCAUGGGAAUAACUCGGUAUCAUCACCGACUCUUAUACAAUCGGAACUCCGAGUUACCCACGAAAUAUUCAAGUUAAUCGCGAUUUUUUACAUUGUUAAAAUGGGAAAUUCUAAUGAACGCGGAAAAAGUUUGAGAUAUUAACGAUUUCGAGUUAAACAAAUUAGAUUAUAUUAAUUUUAUCGUAAUUAUAUUUUAUAGGCAGCAUCCGAAUUGGUUCCCGAUAAAAACUUUCAAAAGAUGCGAAAUACAAUCUAAUAAUAUAUUAUUUAAUAUGAACGUAACACACUAUUUUCUAUCAUUCUGCACGAGUAUAAAAUAUUAUAAUUUAAUAAAUUGUCGUUACUCGUUACUACAUUCACUAAGCCAAUAAAACCGUAGAGUACACGUAUAAAGUGGUGUUUGCAUUUGCAUAAUAUCAUUAAGUGCAUAGUUAUAUUAUAAUCAAUGGUAAUACGUAAACAGUCAUACAUCUGUACAAAAUGGGAAAGAAAAUUGAAAUUGUAUUUCAAAUAAUCUAAAAAUCAAUUCAGAUACACCAAUUUACACAUGUACAUAACCUAACCCAGAGUCGUAAUUAUUACCCUCCGUGGGCGCCUUUGGCAAAUUUUACAUACCUAAUGCACCAACUUCAUUAGUACAAACGUGAGGGCUGAGCUUCCUGAAAUACAUCCAAGCCUCUCAAAUAAAAUCGUAAUCAAGUAAAUACUAAGUAUUAAUAGGUAAUCAAUAUUAUGGGAACUUAGCCCCCAAAAUAUUUGGGCUAUUUGCUCCAAAAAAUGAGCAAAAAUUAUUGUACAAUUUUAAUAUUAUCCCUCUUAUUAUAGUUAUUAAUAUUAAAUUGUGUAUUUUUACCUGCAUCUGAAACGCACAAAAAUCACAUUGUUAUAAGAAAAUUGACGUUUUUUUAACAUUUUUUAAAAUUUAAAAUUAAACAGAAAUUUAAUAAAAUAUAAGUUUUGGUUUAAAUACUUAUAUUUAUUUUAGAAAAUUGAUUAUUAAGUGUAUUAUAUUCGUCGUUGUUACUUAUAACUAUUAAUAUAAGAACAUCAUCAGAAAAUGUCUAGGAUUUUUUUUGGUGAAUUUCUUAGCGACGAAAUAUAUUGAUCAGAUGAAACUAUUUUUUUUUAUAACAACAUAUUUAAAAGAUCUUCAUUAAUGUUUUGUCUAAAGUUUUUUCGUAUAUGAUGUGCUCGAAUAUUUUUAUAAUCCUUAUUCCUAGCCUAUUUUCAAGAAUUUUUAACCGGCUCGAAUCCCAAGAGAGAAAAUUAGGUGAACAAUAUCAGGGCCUAGAAGGAAAUUAUAACUUGAAAACUUUUUAUUUAAUUUAAAUCUUUAACGCUAAUGUAUAUAUUUAAUUAUUUUGUAAUAUUUUAGGCUUCAGGCUUCGACUCGGAUUGUUCAUAUUUACAAGUUCAUAGUGUUUAAAUAAAUUUGAAAUAUUUACUUUAUUGUAAAAUAUAUCAGUAAAAAUUAAAAUUAUUAAAUACAAAAUAUUAGUAAACUUUAUAAAACGUAGUUAUAGGUACUAUAUUCAUUACAGUAUAAAAACGUAAUACUAACCUUUAUGAAACUGCAACAGGUACUCGUAUAAAUUAAUGCAUAUUGCACAUAAGUGUAUUUAUAACACUGUAAGGCGUAAUAUUAUUCUAAUCGUAAUUGUACUGAUAAAUAUCAUAUCUGUUUAAAUGAAAUACUGGAUUUCUGUUAUAACUUUAUUUACGGAUUACCCCCUCAUACAAUCUGUCACGUCUAACACGUGUUAGUCAAUAACACUUGUGUUAUUAAAUUGUACACAAAUAAUUAAUUUUCUAUACAAAUUUUUAAAUUUUUAAAAACACUAUUUUUUUUAUGAAAAUAUGAUUUGUGUGCGUUGCAGAUGUGACGGAACGCAAUAAAAAAUUAUGUAUUCUUAUAACUGAGAACUUCCUCUACAAAAUGCAAAUACAUUGGGUAUAGGGUAAAUUUGAGUAAAUUUUUACUCCAGUCUAUGAAAAUAAAAAACACAAAAACGUUCAACUUGUUUUUAUGAUUUAUAACCGUUAAAAACUUAGAUUUAAAAAAAUAAAAUGUAUACAUUUUUUUUUAUCUUAAUAUGCGAAUUACUUAAUACACAGAUUUUUCAUUUUAUAAAUUUUAAAUAGCCAAAAAAAUUAAUAAGUUAACGGCAUUUUUAUUUUCAAAAUAACAAAAAAACGAAAUUUGUCUAGUUCACUUAUUUAUAACUCCAGUUAAAAAAAUGUUAUGAAAAUGAAAGUUUGUAUUUACACUAGUAAUCAUCUACUAAUGAGAUUAUAGAAAAAAAAUUAAUUUUUCAAACAUUUUUAAUGUCCUAUUUUUGUCACCUAAAUUUCAUUCUAACGUCCCUGAAUCUAAGUCUAAUGUAAGAAUUAUUCCACUUCCCAAUAUUACAAAAAUAAUGAUUGAAAUUGUACAACUCAACGAAAAAUUAGUUUUUCCUAUAAAUUAUAUUUUUAACCAAAAAAAAAAAAAAUACAAUUUAAUCAACAAACUUUUGGAGCUUGGAAAUAUCCGGAUAAGCAACAGUAUAAUAAUUAAAACGGUGAAUGCCUGGGAAUAUCAUAAACUUAUACUUCAUUAGGACUUUGAGUAAUUUAUUACUAUCGUCAAAUAUAUUCUUAUAUAAAAGCAAAUUUAGUACAAACUAUAGGAAUUUAAUUAAUAUUGCUUAUAUGGAUAUUUCCAAGUAGAUACCUACCAAAAAGUUUUUAAAUGAAUAUAUAAACAACAGUUUCUUCUAACUAUGCGAUAAUCUGGCAGCGACUGGGCCAACACUUAUCAUUUAUAAAAACUUAGAUACUACAAAAAGUAUUUAAAAUUGAUCCUGGGAUUACAGUUAUAAAUAUAAUUAAUGCUGUAUGAAAUUUAAAUUGCAUAGUAACAACCUAUUACAUAAUUUAUAUUCAGCUAUUGAAUUAAUAACGUGUUCCAAAUGUGCAUCACCCAAAACACUCCAUAGUACAACGAUUGUAUUAAAUUUAAAAAAGUCAUGGUCAUUGAAAUAAUGUAUGGGGAAUGGAGAUUUAUAACGAUUUAGAACCACAUACAUUGGAAAGAUUCGAAUACCAAUAUUAAUUAUUACUUAAUAAUACUCGUAUACAUAAAACAGGGACGGCCAUUUUGGAUUUCCCUUCCUAAUAUAUUAUCAUAUAUUAUACAAUAUUUUGUUACCUACUUACAUAGAUACAUUAAUUUUUUUAAAUAAUCUAAAUAUUAUAAUUGUUAACAAAUUUAAUACUUAUUAACAAAUAUUUAUUUUCAACUAAUCAAUCUAUUUAAUUGAAGAAUAAAUUAAAACCCAGAAAGAACGCAAAAAGAUGCUCAGUCAAACCGCACAGAAUAGAUGUAGUUUAUUAAGUACCUAUUUUCCAAAUAUUAAGGUUCAAUCACUAUAGGUAGCUGCGUUCAUCAAGAAACUAGUCAAUAAUCAUCCACUUAAAAAUGCCAAAUUUGAAAAAAAAAAUACAUAAAUAACAGUUAUAGUUUAAUAUGUUCUCUUCUCACAUAGGUACUAAAUAUCGAUUAUACAAAAUACGAAAUACAGAAUACAUUAUACAAUUUAUAAAACCAGUUUGAUUAUCUGUCUUAGUACUAAAAAUGAUUGGAGUGAUGGCAUACCAAGAGAUAAAACACGAUAGGUACCUAAUAAAAACGUUCAAUGUUUUUUUGUAUCAAAUACAUUAUUUUACGUGAUUAAUGAUUACUAAAUAACACUAGAUACCAUACUAUAAUGCGUGCAUUGAUACAUUUUAGAUUUAUGUGAAUAAAUCAAUUUUGGUUUAGCAAACAUAUUCAACAGUUUGUUACAAGAUCAUCAUAAUUUAUGAUGAAAUUCCUCGUGCAAUUUUUUAACAAUUGUAUUUCAUUUUGUACUUACAAUUUAAUACAUUUAAAUCUACCAAAAUAUAUAUAUAAGAAUAUAAACAUAAUUGCAACGAUGAAAUUGUAUGAAACAAGGAGUUCUAAAAUUGUACAUUACCGUUAUUUAUUGACACUUUAAUUUUCGGGUAAAACCUCUAUCACGUUUUUAAAUUUCAAAAAGCUAGUUAUAUUAAAAAUUGCAUAAAUAAAUAAACUUUUAGUUUUGGUGAAGACAUUUUUAAUUUCAGUAAAAUCCUUUUGACGAGGAAUUCCACUUUUAAGUUUGUCAUUUCGUGGUAAGGGAAGAGUAGUGUAAAUCGUUUGCGUGGCCCGCAACUUUUGAAUAUAACAUAUGUCGAACGGGUAUAUCAAUCAUAUAGUAAUUGUUUUUCUAUAAAAUGUUCAAAUCUAUAAUAUACAUACACAUACCUAUAGAUUUAUGAAUAAACCUAUAAAUAAUUUUAUUUAGUCGCGUCCCAAAAAAUCGCACCGAAGACAUGAUAUUAUAAUGCGAAUUUGAAUAGCAGAAAAUAAGAAAGAAAACCACCAGAGAUGCAAAUAAAACCUAAAUACCAAACACGCAUGUAUGAAGUGAAAAUAAAUAAACAAAAACACAAAAUCCUUGAAUUAGAAAUAAGGAGCAGUAUAUGUUUAGUUUUAAUUUGUUUAAAACUAUUUUGCAAUAUUUACCGACUCAUAACCGAUCUCAUCGGACGAGUCGUACGAAACGGAUCGAUUUGUGAUUGUGCAUCCAACUGAAACCGCAGAAAUCGGAUUGCCGAUGCGACGGUCAUUUACAAUCGGAUUUUAAUUCAAUGACAUUCGCGUUUUCAUAACGAGUGAUCCGCACCUGCAGUCGGAAAAGUUACCCCUCGGAGAAAUUUCGUCGGCAUUACCGACGGGCCCGAUGCGUGGCGGUCAUCCGAACACCAAGGACGCCCAUUAGGGGGUAACAGGGGAUAAUAUAUCACCCCCCUAGAAAAAUUGCAUUGCCAUUUGUUUUAUAGUUAAAACAAAUUCAUUUUUAUAAUCUUCCAAGAAGUACUAUGGAAGAAUAUAGGUUGGGUGGAGGACUGUGUAUGCUCAAAAAAAAAAAAAAAAACAGACAAAAAGUUCAUCACGACACCAAGUUUGUUGAAAAAUUUAGUAAGCAAAACUACGAUUUACAGUUUUUGUUCACGUAUAAAAUGUAUGUUUGUUUUUUCGUUAUUUAAUAAAAACAAUUUUGCAAUUGAUUCUUAGUUUGUCACCUCCCCUCCCAUAGGUUUUGACAGAUGGGCGCCCUUGGUGGACACACUUAUAACUUACUAUACAAAGAAUUCGAAAAUCCGUUUCAUACGAUCCGUCCGAUGCGUACGAUGAUGAACUAUGGCCGCCAGACAUUUUACCGUGAAUAUUUUAUAUUGUACAGCAAGGGUGACUAAAUAGCGGCCCGCGGACGAAUUUUUGAGAAAGAUUUGUCGUUUAUCCCAGUAAACAGUAUUUUAUUUUUAAUUAUAUUUAGAUACAAUUAAUUUUCGUUUUUUUUUUUUUUUUUUUAAUAAUUAAGCAAAACCAAAUAUACGUAAAAAGAACCGGAAAAUAUACUAAAACAAUUAAAAAUAAAAUAAUAUAAUUAACAUUUUUUUUUUUUGAAUGUAUCCAAUUCAGUUAAAGAUAUUCGUAGGCCUUUUUUUGGGCGUGGUAAAAUUUUAAAAACAUUUGAACCAUUUUUGAGUUACUUAUGGACAUUUUAAUUUGUGAAUAAAAUUAUUAGAUUAAAAAGAAAUUCUUGAAAAUGUGACGAUUUGCACGAUUUAUAAUGAACCAUUAUGAAAUAUACAUACGUUUUUUUACCGCGACCAAAGCAAAUAUCAGACUAAAUAAGUUUUGUCACUAUUAUCAUCUUUUACAAAUAAAAUUAUCAGAUACCUACAGAUAUAGUCUAUAGACAGAGUUCUUAAAAUCGAGUUGUGCACAAAAAUAUCGCCUUUAAUUUGAUUGCAUUAUCGAUGGUGGUAUCGGAUUCAAUAUUAUUGUCGCAUGUGUACAUUUUCGAUCAAAACGUUUUUAUUGCGACAAGCCGAAGAAAUUAACGGCAGUAAGUAACGGAAAUUUAAUUUUCAAUAGUCAUAACAAUUAUUAUUAAUAAUUAUAUUUCUCUUGGUUGUGAAUCGUUAUCCUAUCGCAAACGUCUAACCAAAUGGUAAUUUCAUUAAUUUUUUCCAAUAUUUAUCAACUGAAUAUUUUCAGUGCAUUCCGGUACAUUCCGAGCUCUGCGACAAAGGCAAAGAAGGGACGGAGUUAUGAGAGAGAGGCGGGGGUAAAGGGUUACCUCUUUAGGCGGCCAGAUGAAGUCAUUAUGUGCUUCUAACAUCAGAAAAGAAAUUUAACUUCGAAAAAGAAAUUUAAAAAACAGGUGACAAUAAAGAUAUAUUUAUCGAAUGGGUGCGAUAUAUCGUAAUACUUAAAGAGAUUGACAACGUCAUAAAACCCCAAUCGUUUUGAUUCUUUUUAUUAAAAUAUUACGAUUAAUAUAAGUACUCACCGUCACCGGAGACGUGUUCAAUCGGCAAAUAGCCGCUGCCACGACCGUGUCGAACGAUUACCGCAAAGGCACUCGCAAUUCGUAUAAUUCAUGUACGGUCGACGCGUUUAUCGUAAAUGAAAAUAAAAAGGCCAACUCGAACACGGCACAAAAAAAAAAAAAUACAACAAAAUAUUAUAUAUUAUUACGAGCCACGAGCGAAAAAACUAUGGCGACUUCGCAAGUCCGCAACCGCGGCUUGGCGAAAACUAAGGAGAGUGCGGAGUGCGGAGACGCCGAGCCACCGAUGAGCGAGGAAUCGUCAUCGUUGAAUCCGUCGCCCAUGGGAGAAGAAACGUAACGAUGUGGUACCGGACACGGGCUACGGGACCACGGCCAAUACGACGAAUCGAAAAAAACGGCUAGUAAACGAGGGCUAAUCGCACGGUUCGUAGGUAGAAAACUGUAUACAUCGUAAAGUGCAGGAGUCGCGAUUCCGCGUAACUGUCGGCCGUCGUCCGUCUGUAAAACCGUUGUAAAAGAAUAAAACGUAAAUCGUAUCGCGGACGAAAUACGACGGUGGUAUUUUCCGUUAAAUGUCGUUAAACGUAAAUACAGGUAGGUACUUACAAUAUCGCCGAUAUUCAACGGCGACGGAGGACAUGACGCGUUCUUUCCGCGGACGGAAUUCGUGAGCACGAAAACAUUUAAUGGCGACGGAGUCCGGCAUGUUCGUUGCACACAAGAAUUAUUACAAUAGAUAAUAUAUUAUUAAUAUCCAAAGGCGACGGGUUCGGUACGCGCAAACAGAAAAUAUUACACAACGACGACGCGUUCGAAUAAUUCAUGAGCGGAGCGGUUAAAGUCAAGUAGUACUUGGAAACAAUAACAGAAUAUUCAGGUAACAAACUUUACUGACAGUCAUUGUCAACGUUUAAUCACGGCGAAAAAUUUCCUAGAAUUCGACGACGAUAGCGCUGUGGUUUUAUUAUACAACAAUCGUACGCACAACUCCUUAAGCCAAUCGGGAAAACUUUGGACUUUGGUCACACAACGUAUUGUCGUGAAAAUAGACGCUAACGGUGUUGGCGAAAGUUGGCCAGACUGACGGCGCCAGUCGAAGGGAACCACAUGAGGGGGGGGGCUAUUUCUUUUUAUAAUUUUUGUUCCAAGACACUCAAAUCUCACCAGGUGAGAACCGGAUAGGAUUAACAAGGUGCAAUGCAGGGGUGUUUUGAGGCGAGAGCAGUGACAUAACUGCGGGAUAGCAAAGCGGGGCCCUGGACUUAAACAGGCCCCAUAGUGUCUUCUUAAAUGCAAUUUAUGUAUGCAAAAAUUUUAAAUUUUGUUUUGAAUUUCACCAAAUAUAACAUAAAAAUAUGAAUAGUGAAACCCGUGAUAUGUGAAUAAUAAUGUAACUGGAUAAAAUUGAGUAGGUACGAUAAUAAUCAAUUAUAUUUUAUAAGUUAUAUAUUUAUAUAUAAUUAAUUAUGUCUACUUACAAUUUGUCUUUGGGUUCAAUGGAGUUUUCCAAAUAGCUUUAACAUUACUAAUGCCAAAUACAUUUACUGGGAAAGAAAAGCAUAAAGAUAAACUAAUAAUGCUUUAAAUAUUGCUAACAAAUAGAACGUAAAUCAACAUUUUCUAAUGAAAGGACAAAAAUAACAAAAAAAAUAUUUUAAUGAAUUUGCUCAAGAUUUUAGAUUAGAAAAUAAUGAAUAUUUAUUCAAUGAUAACAUGUUUUAUAGUUUUGAAUGUGGUUUGUUUAGUUUGUCAACUUCAUAACCGUUUUGUAAAAAUGAAUAAAAUUUGUAGUUUAUUGAAUUUUUUGAGUCCUAGUGAAUUAAUUUCUUUUCCAAAAAUGUUAAAAUGAAAUAUUCACAAAAACUUUUAUUAAGAUGUCCGAGAUGGCUUGUACGUUUUAUAAGAUACCACUGGUCGGUACAUGUGAAAACAACCAUUAUUAGUAGAAUAUUAUUAAAACGGUUUGAUAAUAAUAAUUUAUAACCAAGUAUUAUUCAAGUAGGUGCCUAACACAUACCAGUUAUCUGCCAUCAGGUCUGGAUUGGUUUGGAAUUCGGAAUUUUUCCCGAUGGACUGCUCCGUAAGCAAUUAUCUACCUAAUUUGUACUAUUUUUAAAUUUAUUAAGCGAUUUAUGAAUAAAAAAAAAAAAAAAUAGAAAAAUGAAAAUUAUCACCAAUUAUAAGUGCUCACUAUUAUUACUGAAUGGUAAUGAAUUAUUAUAUUUUUAUAUUUACGUUUUUUUUUCCUCUGAGCAACUAAUUUCAGAUGUUUUCCUGUAGUUCAAUGUUGUGCAACAUUGAACCUUUUAGCACUACCACACUUGAUAUCACACAUUUUUACAAUAAAGUAUUUUACCGUCUGUUGAGAACACUUCAAGACCGAAUUCAGACACAAUGUGAUUUAAUUGUGAACAUAAAGAACUUUAACUUUAGGCAUUUUGUUUAAUAAAUAGUAAAUAGACGUUUGAACGUAUGGUCGACGAU